Molecule: long non-coding RNA, 63511 nt
Filed under: Sorghum bicolor (sorghum)
Lineage: Eukaryota; Viridiplantae; Streptophyta; Magnoliopsida; Poales; Poaceae
Description: long non-coding RNA (SBIC_LNC010335)
Rfam family: Plant small nucleolar RNA R71 (bases 28159-28265)
Source: RNAcentral
GCAGGUACAAGCUUGGAGUAGACACCGACAGGCCGGGCUUCCUCCACUCUAUCUCUCUCAAUCUAGUAGAAACUAGAAGAUCUAUUUCUACCUUACAUUGAUUGCUAAGCCUAAAAAGAAAUAUUAAUUAGAGAAGAGGUUUUCCUUCGAGGGCACCCCUCAGUCUCUAUGAUAAUUUCUUCAUGUCUUCUCUAGGGGCCAGGGGCCUUGCUUAUAUAGUCCUCCCCUUCUAUGCGUUUUUGGGUCGAUAGGCGAGGUGGUACUAUGUUUUUCUUGAUCCAAUAGGUCGGUGGAAUAUCCCAAGCGAAAGAGUCCUAAUUUGGCUCCAACAGGGGGGCGGGCGCCCUGGGCCUGGCCCAGUUUCGCCUCCGCUUCGGUCUCGUGGCUUCUGGAGUCUUCUAGAUGAUGUAAAAUUACGCGGUGCAUUGAUAUCUCUAUGUAAUCCCGACAUGUGGGCCUUUCUUCCUUAUUUCCUGAUAACCCCCUGCAGAAACAGAUAAACAACAAAACUCGUGGAAUUCUGUCAGAUCAAACCCUAAUUCUAGGUGAUGGUUGCAUAUUGGUCCUUUCUCUUGUUUAUUUGAUAAUUAAAAUUGGUAUUUAAGAACCGUCAACAAAUACCCCCAUACUUAGGCUUUUACUCGUCCUCGAGAAAAGGAUGGUUAAGAUCAAUAUCUGGGGUAAACAUUUAAAUCAUUCUUUUUAUAAUUGCAGGGUGUCAAAAACCCACUGUGUACCAUAGUCAGGAAAGUUUAUGAUUAAGAGUAAAGAUCCUUUCUUCUCAAUCCUGUCACUUGGAGUUUUUUGUAUAUUUUUGAAAGAAAGUUAGCAUACCUUUUGAUCCUCAUAGGUUCUCUCAGAUCACUCAUUAGCUUUUAUAUAUAUCUCACUGAGGUUGUUUUAAUUUGCAAAAAUUCUCAAGCAUUCUUACUUUGCAUUUAUUGCCUGAUCAAAACGGGAUCCGAGGAGGGGAAUGUCAUACUCUUAGAUCAAAGACUUUGGAAAUUAAAAACUUUGUCAUCUCUUGCUGGCAUAUUGCUUAUUAGAGGGACCAUGGGCUAUCAUUUUUUUCUCUUUUCUCUUUUUUUAAAGUGGAUACCGAGGUACCCCUAAUUCUACUGCCGGACACUUGUCCAUUUUUUCUGCGAGGUUGUCGAGCACUUGCUCCUUUUUAUUUCCUCGAAAUAUCUCUAUUUUUUCAUAGCCCAUGCCUCUAAUGCAAUAAUACUUCGGAAGAGUGAAUCUUACUGAAAUAAUGUCUUGAUCUUAGGAGCAUGAUAAAUCUCUCAACAAGGGUCUAACUCAUUUUGAACAAACUCAAUACAGAGCAGAUAGCUUUUAUAAUCAUAAUUAAUAUUUUCAGUUUUAUCAGGCAUAUAAAAUACUGAGGAUGGUAGCUAGAAUUUUGAAUAUUUUGAAAUAAAUUCUCCAAGCAACAAUGAUAUCAAGAAUAAGAAACUCAUACUCUACCAUCACAUAUUCCAUAUUGACUUAAAUAACACAGGGUUUUAAAAUGAUUUUAUAACAAUUGCAAGUUUUCAGGAAAUAUCAUAGAUUGUGAUUAAUCAUGAUUAGAAAUAUUUUAAUUCUUUUAUUUUAUCAUGUCAGAAACAGUAGUCUGCAUAAUCCAGAAUAAAUGUAUGUAUAAAGUAAAGUGUGCAGAGUGUGUACUUGAAUGGUGGAGUGGUGUAGUCGGAGUGUGUUUGGCAUGUCGAGGGAUCUCCCCCAUACUUGUUUUCUGCUUUCUUGCACAAAAAAUAAAGUAGAGACACACAAGACAUAAUAAUAAUAAUAGUACUCUUUAUUGAUCUUGAGGCAUUUAUUACAAAAGACUGAUAGCAAAGUGAUAACAAACUGAUGAUAAUAGCAACUGUUGAUAAUAGCAAACUUAAACCGAAUUUAAAGAUAGAUGACUAAGAUGUAUUGCCUCAAGGUCUAAUCUAGAUAACUUAGCGGCGCUCUAAUUCCUUAAUCUUCUUGUUGGCACUGGCAAGAUCCUGCCUAAGGCCUAGUAUAAUGGUGUUGUGGUUAGAGAGCUGCCUAGUGAGGGAAUUAAUCGAGGACUGGAGGUCUAUGAUAAUUCUAUCUAGCCUGCGAACUUCCUCAUCAAAAUCCAUUAUAGUCUUGCGACGCUUGGGAGGUGUCUCAAAAGCAUUGAGAGCGUGCUUCGGGGCUGCCUUUGGAGGGAUGAAACGGACUUUGGCUGCUCUAAUCCCUUCAAAGUAAGGCCUUUCCUCCUCCGUAGUGUAGCGUACGCUGCUGAUCUCGCCGCUCCGGUUGGUCUUGACUCUAACGACCCUCUCAUUGGGUCUAGGUGGAAGGAUCCUCGUGCCGAUUGGCACCUUGAUAGUGGUCUUCAUCUUGGAUGAUGAUCCUGUGAGGAGUAGGGGUUGUGGUGGUGCGGUGAGAACUGGUUGAGCAUGGUAAGAUUGGGCGGAGCUGCGUUGGCGUAAUGGCAUGGCUUCUAGCUGUCGCUCUGUGUUGGCCGGAACGAGAGCACGGGCAUCGGGGUCUUCCACAGGCUCCAUGUUGAGGUUGAAGGGGACGACUUCCCAAUCAUCGUGGUACUUCUCGGCCAUUGGAACAAAUCAAAUUUUAAUUGAAGGAGAGCUAAUCAAGCUCUAAUUGAAGGAGAGCUAAUCAAGCUCUAAUCGAAGGAGAGAAAGCUUGGUGGCUUGGUGUUUGAAAACUGAGGUCAGGGGUCUGUUUAUAUAGGGGUCAAAAGGGUGCCUCUAUGGGUUGUUCGGGUUUCUCCCGUCGACGUGCAUGCGAAACUUUCCAUCCGAGGGAUUAUUCGGAUCACCCUAAGUGCAUUUUCCAUAACAGAGAAAGUCGGGACCGAGGGGGAACAGGGGCUGGGCGCCCGCCCACUUGACCUGGGCGCUCGCCCUCUCUCUGGCCCCUCUGUGGGCCCACUUCUCCGAGCGCGUUUCUAGAUGCGGAAUUAUUUAGAAAAAUAUAUAUAUGACCCAAAACCAUCAGACCAAAAGUAUCGGGCUGUAAUUCUCCAUGGGAAGGUAAAAAUGGACUACGUCUAUUUCUUCAAAUUCCUCAUUGGGCUCUAAAAAUAAUUUAAGACGUUGACCAUUUACCUUGAAUAACGUACCUUCGCUAUUUUGAAGUGUGAUAGCUCUGUGGGAUGAUGAAUUGAUUACCUUGAAUGGCUCUUCCCAUUUGCUCCGGAGUUUUCCAUGCCCGAAAAGCUUCACCCUGGAAUUAAAAAGUAAUACCUUAUCUCCGGGCGUGAACUCCUUCUUCUUGAUUCUCUUGUCAUGCCACCUUUUGACUCUUUCUUUGUAGAUCUUUGAAUUGUGAUAUGCCUUCUCUCGCCAUUCUUCCAAUUCUGAUAGUUGCAUUCUUCUAUGAUCUCCAGCAACAUCUAGGUCCAUAUUCCAUCUCUUUAUGGCCCAGUGUGCUUUGAAUUCUAGUUCAACAGGUAGAUGGCAAGUCUUCCCGUACACCAAUUGGUAUGGAGACAUUCCAAUUGGGGUCUUGUAUGCUGUCCGGUAUGCCCAGAGUGCAUCGGGUAGCUUGUCUUUCCAUGCCGUUCCCAUUUCAUUUACUGUCUUCUGAAGAAUAUUCUUGAUUUGUAUGUUGGAAGUCUCUGCUUGGCCACUUGUCUGAGGAUGAUAGGGGGUAGCGACGUUGUGACGGAUUCCAUGUCUUGAUAGAUAUUGCUUGAAGCGUUUGUCGAUGAAGUGUGCUCCUCCAUCACUUAUCACUACUCUGGGGACUCCAAAUCUUGGAAAUAUAAUUUCUUCAAACAUCCUCUUUGAACUGACGUUGUCGGCAUGCUUGCAAGGUAAUGCCUCUACCCACUUGGAGACAUAGUCAACUGCCACCAAGAUGUACUCACACUUCUUUGAUGGAGGAAAUGGACCCAUGUAGUCUAUUCCCCAGACAUCAAAGAGCUCAAUCUGAAGGUUGUUGGUGAGUGGCAUUGCAUCCCUUGUAUUUAUGUUUCUGUGCCUUUGACAUGGCCCACAUCUUCUGAUAUAUUGCUUCGUGUCUUCAUACAUUGUAGGCCAAUAGAAUCCACACUGCCAGAUCUUUGAAUGUGUACGGAAUGCUCCAUAGUGACCUCCAUAUGGUGAUGAAUGACAUCUGUCGAUGAUCUUCCAUCCUUCCUCAGUGGUCACGCAUCUCCUGAGUAAGCCAUCAGAGCAUACUCGGAAGAGGUAUGGCUCAUCCCAUAUAUGUGAACGACUUUCUUGAAUAAGCUUCUUCUUGUUUGCUCCUGGUGGUACAUACCCUGAAACCAUAAAAUUAACAAUAUCUGCAUACCAGGGGUCAGACCUGUUAAUCCCGUAGAGCAUGUCGUCCCGGAGUGAAUCAUUGAUGGGGGUUUCCUGUGGAUUCUUAAAAUACAUUCUAGACAAGUGAUCAGCAACAGAAUUUUCUACUCCUUUUUUAUAUUUUAUUUCUAAGUCAAAUUCUUGGAGUAAUAAGAUCCAUCUAAUCAGGCGAGGUUUAGCAUCUUUUUUAGUGAGCAAAUAUUUUAGUGCAGCAUGAUCAUUGUAAACAAUUAUUUUAGCUCCAACUAAAUAAGAUCUAAAUUUAUCUAUGGCAAAGACAACAGCCAGAAGCUCUUUUUCAGUGGUUGCAUAAUUAAGUUGAGCUCCUGUCAAAGUUUUACUGGCAUAAGCAAUUGCAUGAUGCUUCUUGUCUUUAGUUUGUCCCAAUACUGCCCCCACAGCAUAAUCACUAGCAUCACACAUAAUUUCAAAAGGCAACGACCAAUCAGGGGGUUGAAUGAUUGGUGCAGAGAUGAGUGCUUUCUUUAAUAAAUUGAAAGAUGUUAGACAUGCAUCAUCAAAUUCGAAAGGAGCAUCCUUGGCUAGCAAAAGAGUAAGUGGUCUAGCAAUAAAUGAAAAAUCUUUUAUGAAUCUACGAUAAAAACCAGCAUGGCCAAGAAAGCUUCGAAUUCCUUUUAUAUUCACAGGUGGAGGUAGUUGUUCAAUUACUUCAAUUUUAGCUUUGUCUACCUCGAUCCCUCUUUCAGACACUAAGUGUCCUAGCACUAUUCCUUCCCUAACCAUAAAAUGACAUUUUUCCCAAUUAAGUAUUAAGUGCUUUUCUUCACAUCUUUGCAAAACCUUGUCUAAGUUUUCAAGACAACUAUCAAAAGUUUUUCCAUAAACAGAGAAAUCAUCCAUGAAAACUUCCAUAAUCUCUUCAAUCAUAUCAGAAAAUAUAGACAUCAUGCAUCUUUGAAAAGAAGCUGGUGCAUUACAUAACCCAAAAGACAUUCUACGGUAAGCAUAAGUUCCAUAAGGGCAUGUAAAAGUGGUUUUGCUUUGAUCAUCAGGAUGGAUCGGGAUUUGGUGAUACCCUGAAUAUCCAUCUAAGAAACAAAAGAACGAAUGGUUUGCUAACCGCUCUAGCAUCUCAUCUAUAAAAGGUAAAGGAAAGUGAUCCUUUCUCGUGGCCUUGUUUAGUUUUCUAUAGUCUAUGCACAUCCGCCAUCCUGUGACGGUGCGUUGCGGAAUUAGCUCGUUCUUUUCAUUCAUAAAAACUGUCAUGCCUCCCUUUUUGGGCACAACUUGCACUGGGCUCACCCACUCACUGUGCGGCACAGGAUAUAUAAUCCCUGCAUGCAACAACUUUAUAACUUCCUUUUUAACUACCUCUCUCAUAGUGUUGUUAAGUCUACGUUGGGGUUCUCGAGAGGGUGUAACAGAAGGAUCUGUUGGAAUACGAUGGGUACAAAUCAUAGGACUGAUUCCUGUAAGAUCUUGAAGUGAGUAGCCGAAAACUGAGUGACGUUUCUCAAGAAUGGUCAUUAAUCGCAAAGUUUGAUCCUGAGUGAGUUUAUCGCUAAUGAUCACAGGGAACUCUGGAUUAUUGUUUAGGAAAGCAUAGGUAAAACCGGGUGGUAAUGUUUUAAGCUCUAUGGGAGGUCUAGGUGUUUCUGCAAACUCAUCUAAGGGUUCAGGCUCGGAAGGUUCGUCUUCUUCUUCAGUGAAGAAAGGAGUUUCGUCUUCUAAGUCUGGUUCAUCUAAAAGCUCUAGAGAUGCAGCCUUUACUUCCUCCAUAGGAUCAGGCAAAAGAUAUGACUCGGCCUUAUUGUUUAAGGAGUGUGAAAUUGUUAUCGGGAAUUUAAAGGUUUUUCCAAAAGAAAUGUGUAGCUUUCCAGUAUGACCUUCAUAAAUGUGUCUUCUAAAAGGUUGUCCUAUCAACAGGUCGAAGUCCCAUGUAUCAAAGAUAUAAAAGUUCAAAUGAACCAUGGAGCCUUCUACUGUAAGAGGUAGGAUAAUAAUAAUUCCAAGACUGGGGACUAAUCGUCCCGAAGAUUCCUUUAUGACCUUUGUUGUGGGGNNNNNNNNNNNNNNNNNNNNNNNNNNNNNNNNNNNNNNNNNNNNNNNNNNNNNNNNNNNNNNNNNNNNNNNNNNNNNNNNNNNNNNNNNNNNNNNNNNNNNNNNNNNNNNNNNNNNNNNNNNNNNNNNNNNNNNNNNNNNNNNNNNNNNNNNNNNNNNNNNNNNNNNNNNNNNNNNNNNNNNNNNNNNNNNNNNNNNNNNNNNNNNNNNNNNNNNNNNNNNNNNNNNNNNNNNNNNNNNNNNNNNNNNNNNNNNNNNNNNNNNNNNNNNNNNNNNNNNNNNNNNNNNNNNNNNNNNNNNNNNNNNNNNNNNNNNNNNNNNNNNNNNNNNNNNNNNNNNNNNNNNNNNNNNNNNNNNNNNNNNNNNNNNNNNNNNNNNNNNNNNNNNNNNNNNNNNNNNNNNNNNNNNNNNNNNNNNNNNNNNNNNNNNNNNNNNNNNNNNNNNNNNNNNNNNNNNNNNNNNNNNNNNNNNNNNNNNNNNNNNNNNNNNNNNNNNNNNNNNNNNNNNNNNNNNNNNNNNNNNNNNNNNNNNNNNNNNNNNNNNNNNNNNNNNNNNNNNNNNNNNNNNNNNNNNNNNNNNNNNNNNNNNNNNNNNNNNNNNNNNNNNNNNNNNNNNNNNNNNNNNNNNNNNNNNNNNNNNNNNNNNNNNNNNNNNNNNNNNNNNNNNNNNNNNNNNNNNNNNNNNNNNNNNNNNNNNNNNNNNNNNNNNNNNNNNNNNNNNNNNNNNNNNNNNNNNNNNNNNNNNNNNNNNNNNNNNNNNNNNNNNNNNNNNNNNNNNNNNNNNNNNNNNNNNNNNNNNNNNNNNNNNNNNNNNNNNNNNNNNNNNNNNNNNNNNNNNNNNNNNNNNNNNNNNNNNNNNNNNNNNNNNNNNNNNNNNNNNNNNNNNNNNNNNNNNNNNNNNNNNNNNNNNNNNNNNNNNNNNNNNNNNNNNNNNNNNNNNNNNNNNNNNNNNNNNNNNNNNNNNNNNNNNNNNNNNNNNNNNNNNNNNNNNNNNNNNNNNNNNNNNNNNNNNNNNNNNNNNNNNNNNNNNNNNNNNNNNNNNNNNNNNNNNNNNNNNNNNNNNNNNNNNNNNNNNNNNNNNNNNNNNNNNNNNNNNNNNNNNNNNNNNNNNNNNNNNNNNNNNNNNNNNNNNNNNNNNNNNNNNNNNNNNNNNNNNNNNNNNNNNNNNNNNNNNNNNNNNNNNNNNNNNNNNNNNNNNNNNNNNNNNNNNNNNNNNNNNNNNNNNNNCGGAUCACAUCAGAGGAAAGCUCUGAUUCCUCCAACCAUUCGCUACUCAUUACUGAGAUAAGCUCUCUCAAUUGAUAUUCACUUGGUAAAUAAAUGCUAAACUGGCCGUUUUGGGGUUUGUCAAUAGAAUGGUAGUUUGAAAUAUUUCCAAAAUCGGCAAAAAGAUUGGAUUCUAUAUCCAGCAUGAAGUCCGGUAGUGGAAUUUCUUUCUCUUGUGGCUCAGAACUUGGGAUAGCUAAAGUAGAUGAAGAAUUUGGCAGAGUGUCUACUUCGGCUUCGUAGGUUUCAUCAUGAAGGGUAUUAUCCAUCUCAGCUUCUAGGAUUCUAUCUAGGAUCACUCUAGCUUCAUCAGCAGGGAUGCGAAAGAAAGAACCUCUAGACAUUGUGUGCAGCAUUUGUUUGUAAUUUUUAUGAAGACCUCGAAAAAAGUGAAAUAAAAGAACAGGGUUUUCAAGAUUAAGGUUUGGACCAGAUUCUAAAAGAUCAGAAAAACGUUUCCAGGAUUUUCCCAAAGUUUCAUUAUCUUUUUGUUUAAAAGAUAGGACUUCGAGUCUAAGGUCGGCUAUACUGUCAAGGGAAUAGAAAUCUAGACAAAAGUUGGCUCGUAAAACUCCCCAUUCACCUUGUUGUUGACUUACCUUCUGACUGUACCAUUGUCUAGCUUCUCCCCUUAAAGAAAAAGGAAAAAGCUUCCAACGUAAAGUCUUAUCAGAAAUGCCUUCAAUGCGAAGACAAUCACAUGUUUGCUCAAAAUCUCUAAUAUGAAGGUAAGGGUUUUCGUCUUCCUUUCCUGAAAAAGAUAGGUUUUGAAUCAUGGCAAUCAACCUAGAACUUAACUUAUACUGGGAUGUUUGGAUAGGCUGUGAUGAUUCUCAUGGUAAAAGGUCAGUUGCUAAAGGGAUUGCAGACUCAUGGAUCGAUUUAGAAUUUUGGUUUUCCAUAAGGUAAGAGUAAAGAAAAUAAAUAAAGAAUAUAAAAGAUAAGAUAAAAGUAUAGAUACAAGCUAAUAGCAAGACACAGGUUAUCUCAGCAACCGUCUUUCUCCCCGGCAACGGCGCCAGAAAUGCUUGUUGAUAUUUGGGAACGCAAUAAGGAAUUGAUCCGCAAGCGCACGGAUAUCGGUGAGCACUUCACCCGGGAGGUUAUCCAGAGUAUCGUAUUUAUUUUUUUACCACUAGGAGAAAGAGUGCAUCUGACUAACCGGUCUAUUACUACUAACCUUUAGGCACAAAGAAUGUCUUUCGAUGUGAGUGAUAAAUAGAGAAGACUGCAACCGUAGUCUCCUUCUAACCUUGGUAAGGAUGAUAUACUGUUCUAAUGGGGAGACUAAUGGAAUCUAGACACCACAAAGGAUGUUCGACCCGCACCUAUAAACCCUAUCCUUCCUGCUAACGAGAUGUGAUCUACAAAGGUAGCUCGGAAUUGUCACGUUCCUCACUACUACCACGGUCCAGCUAGUCAGGGAAUAUCUAUGAGUACCCCAGCCUAAACACCACGUUUACGCCAGCAAUGAUUACUCUAAACUCUACGCGAAGAGAUUAAAGUAAACUCAUAAACCAUAAGAACAAUAAAACAAGAAAUUACUAGAAUUUAGAAGUCGAAUUACUGAAGAAUCCUAGGAGCAAGCUUCGGGUUAGGAGAACUUGAUCCCGCAGGUACAAGCUUGGAGUAGACACCGACAGGCCGGGCUUCCUCCACUCUUCACCUCCACUCUAUCUCUCUCAAUCUAGUAGAAACUAGAAGAUCUAUUUCUACGUUACAUUGAUUGCUAAGCCUAAAAAGAAAUAUUAAUUAGAGAAGAGGUUUUCCUUCGAGGGCACCCCUCAGUCUCUAUGAUAAUUUCUUCAUGUCUUCUCCAGGGGCCAGGGGCCUUGCUUAUAUAGUCCUCCCCUUCUAUGCGUUUUUGGGUCGAUAGGCGAGGUGGUACUAUGUUUUUCUUGAUCCAAUAGGUCGGUGGAAUAUCCCGAGCGAAAGAGUCCUGAUUUGGCUCCAACAGGGGGGCGGGCGCCCAGGCUACCAGGGCGGGCACCCUGGGCGUGGCCCAGUUUCGCCUCCGCUUCGGUCUCGUGGCUUCUGGAGUCUUCUAGAUGAUGUAAAAUUACGCGGUGCGUUGAUAUCUCUAUGUAAUCCCGAUAUGUGGGCCUUUCUUCCUUAUUUCCUGAUAACCCCCUACAGAAACAGAUAAACAACAAAACUCGUGGAAUUCUGUCAGAUCAAACCCUAAUUCUAGGUGAUGGUUGCAUAUUGGUCCUUUCUCUUGUUUAUUUGAUAAUUAAAAUUGGUAUUUAAGAACCGUCAACAAUUAACACAUGGUUCUUUUCCACGAUAGCAAAUAUAGCCAACCGUGAUCUGGAAUCCAUCUAUAUCCUGCAGGUGACAGGAAAUCACCUGGCUUCUACCGAGCUAAGCAUGGCUAAGCAUAGACGUGAUCCUGACUAAUUAGGAUUCAGGUUAUAUAUAUACUGGACAAGGAAGGGUAUAUAUGCAGCAAGGGUUUCAUCCAACUCCUAUACUUAAUGCAACAAUACAUAUAUAACAUAUAUAUACUCAUUCACUUUCAAAAAUUAGGAGGCUUAUAAUGCUCCGGGGCUUGCCUGCAAUGUGACAUCGAGUCAGAUUAGUUAGCUUGCUCCGUCUUGGUGACAUCUAAGAUCAUAACACUUGCUUAAUCAUUCCAUCUUCGGGAUGAUCCACCAUCACGUCCUUCACGUGGUUCAUCUAGCAUACCUAUAUGACAUGCAAGAUGCAAGUGCAUGAACACAUGGAAGUGCAAUAGACAAAGCAUUACACACAAGAAGCAUGACAAGAGCAUGGUUUACACUAAACACACUUAAGCACAUCUCAUUGCUCAACUUAAUGAUUACACAACCAACAUGCUAAGCCAACAAGGAAUGCAACACUAAACAUAUUAGACAUGGCAUACAUGUUCCACCAGGUCUCAGGUAUAUUAACUUGGCCAUUACCAAAGACAUGAGUCAUACAUAGCAAUAUACCAAGCAACAGCAAUACAAGGAAUCUGCCAUUUUUAGGACUGUUAACAGCAGCUGAGAAAAUCAAUCAUAACUGGAGUUACAAAACUCCAAAGGACAUGAAUUAAGACAUUCUGGAAAGCUUAAGAAAUUAUCUACAUUUGAUAUUUAGACAUCAAAGCAUGAUUCUCAACUUAAGCUGGUCGAAAUUAUAAGGUUCCAGAAUCUGUCCCUGACAAACAGAGAGCAGCCAUUUCUGGAAUCAAACUUUGAACAGACAUAACUCACAAACCACAAGGCCAAAUACUACCAAAUUUUAACAGCAGGUAGAUAACUGAAUUAUAUACAACUUUGCUAUAAACAAGAUUCCCAUAAAACAUCAUUUACAUGUUGUAAUCCAAACAGUUCCACAAACUGUCCAGAAACAACAAUUGCAAACAAUUAAUUAUUAACUUAUGUUUCAAACAUGCAUUUGAGCAAAACCAUUGUUACCAACAGUUUGCACAUAUCUAAAGAACACCAGAAAACAUAGUGGUCACAACCAAAUAAAUUUAUUUAAUGCAUUUCUUAAUUUAUUUGGAUAAUAAGGUGAAUUAAAGAACAUAUACAAAAAGUACACAGUAAAUACCACCAAAAUUACAGUAGCCUCUACAUACUAUAAAUAGACUUUUAUACAAAUUUCAUUGUAUUUUAACAAACAUAGCAGUCUCUAUGAAAAAGACAAAUUGCUAUUGCAAUUAACCAUGUGAGAGCAAGAUAAAUCUAAAACUCACAUUUUCUUCAAACACAUGACCAUAAUAUAUAUCAACAUGAUACAACAAUAUCACAGAAUGGUAGUGGAACAACAUUUUCUAUUUGUACAUUUUAAUUUAUAAUAAUAAACCAUUUAUCAAGCCCUAUGAAGACAUCUCUGUUCAAAUCAUGGACAGAAUCUGUCAUGCCACAUUAAACAGCUAUAACUUGAGGUUCACAUGUCCAUAAUUUAUGGUUGUGUACUUUCUAGAAAGCUUACGAAAUUGUGAACAACUUUGUUAUAAACAUCUAGAGCUAAAUCUACCACUAACAAGGUCUUACAUUACAAACAAUGCAAUCCAGUCUGGGUUUAGACAGAAACUGGAACAGUACUUUAAACCACUAUAACUAAACAUGUGCUUAACCAACAAUUGUGCUAUUUAUCUUUUUGGAAUGAUUAUAAAAACUACUACAACUCAUAUAUUUUCAUCCAGGCAAGAUUCACAACUUAACUGAGCCAAAUAAUACAAACAUGCAGAUUUACUCAGAAUAGGAGCAAAGCAACACAGGGCAUUUGUUAUUUUUAUAACUCCCAAUCUGUCAUGCCUAAAUUCAUCAAACUUUUACCAGAAAUCAAAUAUCAUAUUAAAUGCUUGUCAUAAUAUUUUCACAUUUAUUUGUGCAAUAAUACAGUGGUUAUGAAAAAGACAAAUAUAGCAAGCAAUUAAAACCGAACUGCACAAAUCUAUUUCUACAGCUAAAACUUUAAACUAAAACAUGGUAUAUUAUAGAUCUACUGCAUAGAGAAUUUCACAGGGAUUCCAAAAAGUCCACAUUUGCUAUUUUAUGACUUUUCUACGAAUUACUAAGCAUUUCCAAAGUUUAUCCAUAAAAUCUGCAAAAACAAAAGAAAAGGAAAACAGAUCUUGCACCGGGAACCCUAGCUUUUCCAAGAAUCACGCCACAGCCCACUAAUAUGAGUCUUAGCAUCGCAUCUGGAACCCUGAGUUGUUUCUUAUUCUAACGCGAGGUCCUUCUUCAACCUGAUUUACGGAACAGAGCACGAAGGCAGCUGCAAUGCUGGCCUGGGAUGUCGCUGUCGGCGGCGGGGAAGAGGAGCAGGCGCAUGCUGGAGGUUGGCCUCGCCUUCGUGGGACCAGUGCCCGGCCAGCCACAACCGGCUCUCGCCCAGCCACGAAACCAGUAGGGCAGCGAGCUCCAUGAACACAUUGCCCCGUCCGGAGGGAGCGGCUGGCUUGGGAGGUGAAGGAGGUCUCAGCAGAGCUGCGCAGGGGUAGAGAGGAAGCAGCGCCUACAGCUGCUCGACCUGCUCGUCCGUCCAUGGCGGUGGACUGCCAUGGCGAGCAGAGAGCGAGGAGAGGCGACAGGAAGACGUGGGAAGUGAAGGAGGGCAAGGUAGCGGGUACACAGGCGUCUCGGCCUCUCUCCCAACCGCUCAGUUUGUGGCAAGGGUGAAGUGGAGGUGGCAGCAAUGGAGGAGACGCUCUGUGCAUGGUUGCCACAUCCAGAGCACGUGUUGUCCGUUGAGGCAUUUCGCCGAGCACGUGGCGGGUGACCGUGUGCCGACGUGGGAAGCUUAUUUGGGCCAAUUCCAGGCUGAUUUCGAUCAUGGGCUAAAAACAAAGUUUGUUGUCCAUGUGCUGCUCUACAUUUUUCGUUUAUGGCUGAUGGUCAUUAGGAUUAUAGAUUAGUAGAUAAUUAGAUGCCAAGCCACGAGUGUCAAUGAAUUGAUAAUAUAUCCAACUUUUAUUAAGGGAUCAACUCAAGUUGUUUAGUAAACUUUGAAGAACGCGGAAUGCCAACAUGACGAACUGAAAUUCCAGACUUAGAAAUUCAAAAUGCUAGAAUUUACAGCAGAUUCGAUCUUGUGACUAUUAUUUGACAGGCUUAGAAGAUGAUUCGGCCUUGAGCACUUUAACAAAGUUUGUAGCAUACAAACUAUACUACAACUUUUAUUAAAGGACAUUAUACUGUUUCUGCCUGGUUAGUAAGGUAUAAGGCUCCCAACUAGGGUACCCGAAACUGAGCACCUUGAGGACUUAGCCAAAUUUCUGAGAUCCAAAACAGCACUGCAUUGAAUCUUGGGAGCUUAAUUUGACUAGGAUAGGUACCAAACUAGCUCUUGACAAUUAAAUAAAGUUUGUUCUACAGAAGAAAAACUACAACUUUUAUUCAAGGUCAAAACUCAUAACUGGUACGAAACUCAAACUUUCACUUUGGUCAAAGUAGCAACUUGAUAAAGCUCAAACUAGGGUUUUAGACCAAAUAAAGCAUUUUCUUGGCACAAGCUCAAUAUGAACCCUUCAUGACUUUUGUUGUAGAGUUCAUCUAGAGUAAUUUGAUCAAGAUUGCAAGAUUAGGCUAGUAACCCAAGGUUCCAUUCACUUAAUAAGGUCAUUCCAUCAAGCAUGUAACUUAUUAUUUCAUUUGACCUUUUGAAUCCAAACUUCAUGAAACUUUUUGAGUGAUCACCUAGGUAGUGAUAGAGAUGAUACACAUGCAAGAAGCACCAUCAACACCCACAAGCUUUAUUAUGUAAGAUCUUCAAGCAUUCACUUGUCACAACAUCAAAGUAUGUUUCAUACUAUCAUAUAUGAACAAAUGAUGUUUAUGCUCAUAAAAUGUGAGUGCCGAAAUGCAAGACAAACACCUGGGGUGUUACAGGUUAUAAACUUCUAGUUUUUUGAGCUGAAGUAUUGAAUACUUAGUUUAUGGAUUAUACAAUUUUUUUGCUAAAUUGAUCCUUCCGAGAUCAGUUUAUAUGCCAGUAUAGUCCAAUCGUUCAUGUGCUUCUAGGAAAUUCAAUCUCCCUUCUACCUACAUGGUAGUAUUGCACAAAAAACGAUAACCUUCAUGGUUAAUAUAGCUUCUUUGUGGAUAAAAAUAAUGCAAAACUUAUUUAGAUAGGCAAAAUAAGCAAUUAUUUAUAUGUGAAACAUAUAAUUCUAAUUCACUCCAUAUAAGAUUGACACAUAUUACUGCAAGUAAAGAAUAUUAAAUACUUGAUAUUAGUCUUCAAGCUAAUAAAAUAACCAUUAACUCUUCUAUGAGUUUAUAAAAUCCAUUUAAUUCAACAGGAAUUAAAACUUAAAGCACUGCCGCCAUUAAUACUUCUGGAUAGUAAUUUCAGAGACAAAAUAAAUAUAUAAGCACAUAAUUUAAGUUCUUCUAGAGAAACCUUAAAAAUUCAUUACCCAUUCUUGCAUGUCUUAGCUUCUAUGCUUGACAUUUAGCAUCUUCAUGCAUGCUUUAUUUCAUAAUAGUAGUGAUAUGUAAUAAUGAUCCUUCUAGGAGUGCAACAUAUGCAAGUCAUAUUUCCUGGUUCAUAGAGCUGUCUAAAAAUUCUAACUCAACUUCUAUUUGAGUAAUUUCUGAUGAUAAAUUUAGAUACUUCAUGUAUUAUAUUGCUCUUUGAUAUUCUAUAUACAAGAGAAAUUUCUUCAAGAAUAUUCAUCGUCAAAAUCUUUAUUUACCAUCAUGUCCUCUAUGAUAUAGCUUGAAAAUUCAAUUUUCAAUAAUAUGGGAUAUCUUCUAAAAUUUCUCAUGUAUCCCACAAAGACCUUUGAGAUUUACUAUGGUCAUAUAUUUAUUCAAGAUAGUAAUACCAGGAACUAUAGUGCCUCAGUCUACUACACUUCAGUGGUAGUAGAGUAUCCUACUAGGAUUUAACAAUGACAAUUUAUUAUAAAAUUGUGUCAUUCAAAACAAAUCCAGGAUAUUCCUUCUUCAUGAAGGUAUGUAUAUAUAUAUCAUUAUAACUGGAAUAAUUAUGUGUGUAUAAGUUUACUACGAGUAAAUAAGUAGCAAGGUGCAAAAGAUAGUGGAUGGUUAUACAAAAUACUCUUAGAAGCAUCCUAGCAUUUUAAGGAUAUAAUCAUGGUAUAUGCUAAUUUUCAAAAUUAAUACCAAUCCUUCAUUCAUCCCAAAAAAAUCAUUAUGCUACAAAAAAAAUAUAAGCUUGUCAAAGGUGAUAAGUCUAAGGUCUGCAGGAUUUAAAGAGCUUAUAUUUCAUACCAUGUUUUUUAAUGUAAUCAUUCAAGAUUUAUUCUUACAAUUACAUAGUAUAUAAUUUACAAUGUGUGAUAAAUAAAUGCUUUUCAUAUAGCAUACAGAUAUCAACGCAGGGCAUUUAUACAUAAAUAGAGAAAUAAAUAUUCUGAAUGUUAACACAAACCCAUACUUUUCUGUAGGAAAUUCAGAUUUCACUAAGGGUUUAUUUUAUUAAUUCAAUACUCUAUGCUAUUUCCAAAUAGCAUAUGAGCUUUACCGUAGAUGCACAAGCAAUCCAGUUUUAAGUUGGAAAUGUUCUUAUCCAUUCAAACAGUAGUCACAUUUAGUGCGGACUACGUACGCGGACAGCCAAAUAACAUGGUCCCAGCGUGCAAGCACAAGUACGAUGUGGGCUGCAUGCCAAGGUGAGGGGCUUCUAAGGGCACUCAAAAUGCAAGACUCUAUCACAUAGGCCAAGACACUUAAUUACAUAUUAUUUAUGAUAUUUUACUGAUGUGGUAGCAUAUUUAUUGAAGAAAGAGGUAGAAAAAAUAAGACUCCAAGUCUUAUUUAGACUCUAAGUCCACAUUGUUCGAGGUAAUAAAUAACUUUAGGCUCUGUGAUAGAGUCUGCAUUGUGAGUGCCCUAAUGCAAUGAGUCCGCUCGGCGUACGACGUGAUAGGAGCAGGCUACAAUGCGAAUGCAUGACUUCCGGUCAGCAAUAUAAUUUUGCUUAGGUCAUUGCUAGGAUUUCAGUUAGCGAUCAAAGUGACUUCAAGUCAAUCCAUAUGUGAUCGAACAAGAAGAAGUUGCUUGAUCUAAAAGAUAUAUGAUUGUUAGAAUCAAUCUAUUAGAUAGUACUAGAUAAUAUUUAGUACAGACUCAUGUUAUUUAUCUUUUGCAAAUACAAAACCCUCAGCUGUAAGGGAAGGGAGGAGCAAGCCAUGUAUGAGCAAACGAGUAAGCACCAUUCAGGCAUAUAGGCAACGGAGGACAAGGCAGUAGCAGCUUCAUACCCAUGCUAUCCGGGACUCCGAGCGAGAGAGCAGCAGCGUGCAAGUUGCUGUCACGUGGUGGCGUGCGGGCCACAAAUCAAAUAUGCAAUUAAUGGCAGAUCUAAUGACUACAGGUCAAAACCCAAAUCAUCGUAAAAGAUGAGUAGUAGAAGGCUCCGAUUGCGGAUCGUGUAACCUUAGUUUGGUUGUGUUGCAUGUGGGUGGGUUCUUCUGCAGGAACGAUCUUGAGCUUGCACUACGAGUUCGGAUGACAUGGAAGCCAUGUAUAUGAUUUUAAGUACAGAUAAUGUGCAUGUACAUAUAUAUGCGUAUGUACUUUCUUGUACAUAUUAGCCCCGUUUAAUAAUAGGGACAAAAGAUAUCUGCGAGAUAUAAUUCUUUCAUACCUGACAUAGGAUGUCAAUUUGAUCUACUUCAUAUGUCGCGUAGGACAGUGGUUAGUAGAUACAAACCGCGUAGGGUAUUUGACAUUGUCGUAGAAUCGCUUGCUUGAGAAGACUCUGCAUAUCGAUGCAGUGUAGAUUAGUUGCAGGUAGAGGUAGUAGAUCCGUUCCACUAACAACGUCGGAGAUGUAGACGUCGUCGAAGCAGUCAUGUCCGAGGAGUCAGCGGCAUGAGCGUCGGCAUCGAAGGUCGGCGCGGCUUCAACGGCGUCGACAUAGAGCUUGUCGUGCUGAUAACGUGUUAUAAAACAUGUUGCCAGUGGUUGGGACAUUUCCCUCUCCGUCUCUCAUGAUCAAUAUAGUAGAUGAAAGUAGAAGAACAAAUAGACACAAGAUAGGGAGACUAUUCUUUAUUUCUCUGAAUAUUGGUGAUUACAACAUAAAGCUCCCACGUAUAUAUAGUCCUGCCAAGGCCUAAGAGUUUUGAUAAGAGCCCACAUACAAAAUGAUUAGGAUUAUAAUUCCUCCUUCUCUUUUCUUUCUAGGUAUUAAAUCCGUAUGUUUUACAAGAGAAAGGACUAGGCCAUGUGAAAUUGGGUCCACCGGCCUCAACGUUCGGCCCCACCAGAUGUACAUAACUGUGUCAUGCAAAAAAGGAAAAGAGAAAAAGAGAAAAUCGCACCCGCCGUGCAAUCACUAAUUUUUUCUUUCUUAUAUUCACACAAAAAAACAAAUCUCCUAUCUACCCCCUCUAUCAGGGAAAGAAUAUAAUAUACGUUACCAAAACAAACGUAGUGACCAAAGAAAAUCACACAUAUACCCUGCUUUUCCCAUGAUGCACGUAGUCAAGGCCUACACUCUUGAGCAAGCCGCUUGUACUGCUUUUACUCCCUCACUGUCUCCAACUCGUACGAACGAGAUUUUUUAUCCUAGCAGGACUCAUAUAUCUGCCAGCCUAUAGUCAUGCCUCAAGUUUAAGGCUCGUACACUCUUAUUUUAUAUGUUGUACUUUUUUUCUAGUCAAUACUAUUUUUCUCUCACGAUAAAUUAGUAAACAAUAUUUUUAGCCUUUUUAGACCAGCGCUCUAAAAUUGUAUUCUUUCCUAGACACACCUCUGUUCCUAAAGUUGCAUGUUUUUAGGGUUCUAAAUUUAUUUUAAUUCUUCUGUCUCUGUACUCACUCAAAUCAAAUGGUUGAUAUCAUUUGUGUCAACCUCAUCAUCUGUCCCCCGCCCGUAGCCAAUGCGGCACACGCAUCACUGCAACUACCCGAGUUCAACCCUCUCCUCCCCAUUUUCAUCGGUUGCUUUUUUUCAUUGAUUGUUUUUCCAAAACAAAAAUAAUUAGACAGCAUGUGUUGACGCUGAAGAUUGCUCUAAGCCAACACACCAACGAGGGCCUUGGAUGUUCGGAGAGGUUGUAGAUCAAUCUGCAACGCAGCAAGAAUGUAGCAUAAUCGACCUAACCGAUCUAGAGACCGAUAGGGCCAAUGUAGAGGUCGAUCUUGGCUGAAACGACUCACGAACUACUCCCAGAAGGAUCCAUCAGGAAGGAGCACAUGGAGGAUCUCUUAGGACUAGCAAGGGCGCCUAAGAUGCCAACAAAUCUCAUGGAGAAACUUGCUAAACAGCACCUAAGAUGCCAACAAAUCUCGUGGAGAAACUUGCUAAACAGCUGGAGGGAUUGAGAGAGGAGAAUUAGAGCAAAGAAUAGAUGUGUUUUGUGUUUUGGACGAUUGGAUAGAUGGGAACUCAAUCGGCCAUGUUCCUCUUAUAUAUAUAGAGGGGAUGGUCUUAACCCAGUAGAAAACCUCUCCAAGUCUAUUUUCAGAGUUUCCCACAAGUUUGGAACUGUUCGGAUCAGAAUUUCGAAGGCUAGAUCUGAACAGUUAUUAGGUCUGUCGGAAGUCGAGUCAGAAGUCACGACUCGGGUGGGAACUCCCAACGUUUGUUGGAACUCUCGAUGUGGGUCAGAACUCCUGACUCGAGUCAGAACUUCCGACUCAGGUCGAAACUCCCGACGUUUGUCGGAACUCCCGAUAGCAGAGCAUCUUCUCGAGGGCAUAACUUCUUCAUCUAGACUCCAAAUUAGACGUUCCAUAUAUAUUUUUUGACCAUCUCGGCGAGAGGAACACAAUGGUGAAGUUUGUUCCACAUUUUGAAAACUUCACAAAAAGGAUAAUUUUGGUUGUCAACAGAUGUCCCCUAUUUUCAGGUGAAUGAUACAUGAACCUAAAAAUAAUUAAGCAAACAAAACUAACAACCAUCUUAUCGACUAUUCAGUGACUAAGGGGCUAUUUUUGUUCUAAGAGCAAUACAUGUAUCAGCCAUUGUUUCGGGAGCACUUAGGCUUCUGGCCAAACACUUGGAAAUACUUUUUCAAGUAUCUCCCAUUGAAUGCUACUUUGAGACGUUCACCAUGCAAUGUCUCUAGCAUAUAAGAACUACUAUGUAUGACUUUGAUUACUUUAUAAGGACCUUCCCAAUUUGGUGACCACUUGCCAAACUUAUUACUCUUCGACCCAAUAAGAAGUAUGGUUUUCCACACUAACUCUGCUACAUGAAAGAAUUUGUUCUUGACCUUUUUGUUGUAUGCCUAGGCAACUUGAGCUUUGUCUUUUUCUAUCUCCUUGAGAGCUUUCAAUCUUACAUCAGUCAUCUCAUUGAUAUUAUCCAUCAUCCGAUCAUGAUACACAAAUGCUGAUAAAUCAUUUUGUUUAGCAAGCCUGUAUGCCUCCAAAUUUACUUCGAUGGGUAACACGGUAAUGGGGACAGGUUCCUGAUCUUCUGUCAGGUUCAAGAUACACAACGAUUUUGUCAGAGAGUGACACACCAAUCUAGCUUCAGAUCACAAAGACCCAAACCCUGGAACCUUAGCACCAUGCCUCCAUAGGUUAUGGACCGACGCUGCACGGUUGACCUCGCCAAGAAGACUAAUAUUUGCUUGCAAAUCAAAGAACACAAGCAAGAACAAGAAAGAAUGCAACCAAAUUCGUAGAUGAAUGAUUAAUCUCAGGAGUUGGGGUCUCACAAACUGAUAAAACGUUGAAACUAUUCUUGACAGAAUAAUCUAAGCAAAACCAAAACCCUAAAGUAGGUGGCAGCUACUGAUUAUAUAGCCUAAGGGGCGUCCAAAGACCCCCUCUUCACAUCCAUAAGGUGUUGCAACACAUUACAAGGCCCAAUGGCUCAAAAGACAGCAACACAGCACCCUGACAGAUUCUAGACGUCAACUUGUUUCAAUGAUUCCCGUUAACUCCAAUGGAAUUUGGGCCUUACACUAAAUCCAUUGGUUAGCUUAUGAAAUUAUCUUUCGAUUCAUAUGUGGAUCAUUAUAAACAAAGUUAGCAUGCAAGCUGAGCGUCCAUUUACUAAAUGCUGCUCCUAGAGCCUGAGAUGGACUCGAACUUGACUUGGAUUGGGCCUCCAACUUUGACGUGGACAACAUUGCUGACCCUCUAAGGUGGUGGCCAAGGGAAAGGACGUCCGCAAUCUUCCUUUGGGUGUUCUUGAUCUCCUUAGGGCAUGCUCCAACUUGGGCUAGGAUCCCAAUGGUAAAUAACAAGCCCAUGAUGAUGAUGUAGCUCCUAGCAGAAACAAUGACAACAUGUCUCAUUUAUUUGGAGGCCUUGCUGACAUGAUAUUGAGAUUAAACUAGAUCCAUUGGAAAGACUAUCAAACAAGCUUUGCAUCAAGUGCUCAUUAACCUCAAUCUCACUCCGGAUGGAUGUGUUAUGGCCUUCCUAGUAAAGUAGUAUCGGGCUACCGACGAACCGAAAGUUCAAUUUUGAUGGACUUGCACUUUCAGACAUAUUUGAAGUUAUAAUCAAAUAAUGACGUGUACAUGUGGAACCAAGUGAAUUGUACCAAAAAUCACUAUACAAAUAUAGGAAUAAGCUCACCUUAUAAUCAAUAGAUAUAUUUGAAGUUGUCAUGUCCUCAUCAUCCUCCCCAUCUUGACAACAAAUCGUCCUCAGUUUGAGAUUUGUUGAAGAGCAGGUUAUAGGUAGUAACCAACUUUGCUCCCCUUCUUGAAAAUUGACAUGUAUCCUUAUAACAAAAUUUGGGGUCUCAAAAUGACAUGAUUAUAUCUAUUGCAGCCCUCUAAUUGAUCAUAUUGUUGCACAACAAAAGAAUAUUUUAGAUUUAAACAAAAGUAGACACGAUGCACCAUAUACUAUCCUUUACAAUUAUAUUUGCCAAUAAAGUGAUAUAUAUCUAGAUAACCAUGAUAAUUCAACACAUUUAAAUUUCUCCUCCAAACUACUAAGAGCACACAAAGUUUCAAACUUAAUAUAUCCCAAAGUAUUUAAAUAAGAGAACAAAUUUAGUUCGUCUUGUUUAAUGACAAUUGGAAGCAGUUGUUUAUUUCUGGCAUAAGUAUUUUGUUCCAAAACAAAAGAAUCAUUCUCUUAAGUUGUGGCAUAGGAAUAAUCAUAGCAAUACUAUCACAUAACUCCUCCUUAUCACAAAUGUUAGCAGAACAUUCAUCAUGUGACAAAGUUAAAUCAAGAGAAGGUACUAGUAUAGCAUUGUUAGCAUCAUUGGCAUUACCUCAGCUCUCAUUCUCAAGAGGAGUAAUAGGUGAUGGUUCUAAAUUUUCACAUGAGGUUGGGAGCACCUCAUUUUCAUCACGUCAUCCUCACUCUUUUGUAUAUUGUUGUUGAUAGUAGUUAAGUACCAAUUUUUAACUGUCAUCAUAACAUGAGAAAGGAUUAAAACAUGGAUACCAUCUAGUUAUAGGGGUUACACUAACAAAGGUGAAUAUCUAUUUCUAUAGGGGGUUAUUAGAAAAGAACCAAAAGAGGUCCACAUGUCAGAUUUACAUAGAGAGAAUACCACGUCUAGCAGCUCAAGAAUACUCUAGAAGACUUGAGGAGGCAUCCCUGUGAAGCUGGGCCCACCUAGCAGCUAGGUAGGGGUGGGUGCCCAUGCCCCAUGGGUGGCCACCCGACCAGCUCCACCAAUCAGGACCAACCUCGUGGAUCCUGUCUCGACCGACUUUGAGGAUCAAUAUGAAGCAUCCAUUCAAGUUAGUUUCAUCCAAAGGCUACGGUGCAUCCUAGGAGGCUAUAUAUUUAGGGCCUCUGGCUCCUAGAGAAACCCUACUUCAUUCUCUGAUUCAUUCGGAGAAUUCAUCUUCAACUCCAAAGAAGCUCUAGAGCCACCAUUGUUGGUGUUUCUUAGCGAAACCACUAAGGAUAGAGUUUGAGUCCAUCCCUAAUGAUAACACUAGAAACGUUCUUGGCAUAUCCUAACCACCAUCACUUCAGAAUGAUAACCCAAGGCUCUUUACGCCGCGGGCCUAGGCAGUGCAGUCUGGUACUGAUGAUUAGUAAUGCCAGAUUGGCCUUCCUAACCAUCCUUACUUACGAUAUGCAAAGCUGUGGCCCGGCGCCGGGUGAGUGCACAAGGAUUACAAUCUUAAGUAAUGGUACUUAGGUACGCCAAUCGAUAGCUCAGUAUGAAAUAAGAAUAACUCUGCAAGCGCACAGAACUAUCAUUGUAGCAUUUCAACCCGUAAAUGGGUGUCGUAUUUGUAAUUCCCGUAGGAAGGCAUUUAUAUCUAGCGUGGUUAUAACAUGAUUACUUAUUAAAAUGCAUGGUAGGCAUAGAGUAAACAGGGGUAAGAUAUGAUAUUUGGAGAUAGUGGACACACAUCUGGGUCAUCCUCAAGGAUAAAAGAUAAAAUAAAGAAUAAAAGAAUAUAACUACUGAGCAGGCAUGGUUCGUAUAUAACUGUGCUAAGAACUGUUAGUAAGUCAUCUAACUAGCAUGUCUUGAGAUAGGAUCAGGUUUGAGAUGAUAGGGAGAUCCCCAUAGCUGGUCUGCAAGCAAAUAGAGACUUUACAUGACUCCUACCGAAUAUCCGAACGUGGGGGAAUAUGAAGGAUGACAGGGCUGUCACCACCCUGCCACCUACCCCUCUGCUUGUGGGAUACCCGCAUAUCCACUGUUCUCCGCAUACCUGAACACCAUGUUCACGUAUUUGGAAACAACUCUUAACCCCCGCGGGCCCCAACACUUCGGAUUGACAGGCUAGGUUAAGAGCAACCAGAACGACCCACUGAACCAUCAUCUCAUCCCUAAUUCUACUUCUAUUCAUAUAAGUUAGAUGAACGAUGAAGAACAGGGAUGAAUAUAUCAAGAACAUAGCACAAGAACUAAGAACUAGUUCAUAUACUAUGAACAUGAUAUAGACAUAACUAUACUCUAGUUCAUAAGCACAAUUGUAUAAAGAUAACAAGAACUUGCUCAUGGAAGAAGACUGAUUAUGAUUCAUACCAAGAGGAUCCUUUCGUCCUAGGAGACAAGCUCUCCUUGGUAGCUCUUGCCUUGCUCUACUACUAGUCUAAUACUAAAGAUACAAGUGAGAGGUGUGUGGAAAUGUAGACUCCAAAUGAUGUGUGUUUUACAAAUGAGGGGGAGCCAACUAUUUAUAGCCCAACGAGGACGGUUCGGGGGAUCUAAAUAUGGUAGUAGGUGAAACCGUCCUAUGCAUGGCGGCAUGCAACCGCUAGAGAAAGGUGGGGCCGGUUUGCCGCCACCAAGGUUGCGCCCGCAACCAGGUGCGCCCGCAACCUGGUGGGCCCCACCUGGCCACCGCCUUCGCGUGCCUUGCUCCCUGCUGGACCUCCUUUGCUGCUUUGGUUACGAUUGGGUCCAGUUCGAUGUUGAAGGUGGGCUUCUUAUUUAUUUUUGAUUGUGCAAUUGUGAAUUCGUCUUUUGUAAAUUGCGCUUUCUUUAUUUUACUGUUUUCUUCCACUUGUCACAUUAUAAAUCCUGCAAAACAAAAUACCAAGGUACAAGUGGAACUAUGUCAAUAGCAAAAGCAUAUGUGAUUUAAAUAAGUUUAUUCCUCUUCUUUUUAGUCUAAGUUGGCAGUACAAAAUCCUCCAUAGUGACUGCCAACAAGACCCCCAAGCUUAACCUUUGCUUGUACCGAUCAAAUAAUUAAGUAUGGUUGUUGAUCAGGAGUUGCUACUAUGCCGAUAUAAUUUAGGAGUGUCAUGCCUAUAACAAAGCAUUCAUUUGCAAUUUAAAUAAGUUGGCAUACUAUCCACUCUUUACCUUAAUUUCCCAUGGGGCUUCUUGGGUGGUUGCAAGAUAGAACAGUUGUAACAGACUCACCAAUCAUUCAUCUUUUGAUAGACUAUCAAUCUGGAGGUUUUUUUACAAGUUUUGCAAAAUAAAUGAGUUCCUCGAAUGAUUCUCUCAAUCGCUCAAUGUGUAUGAAAUCCUUACGAAAGGCAUUAUGUGAUUGCCUUUAAACCUUACCACUAAGGUUGAGAGUGGAGUUUUGGGCAGGUAUAAAGGUGGGCGUACUUACGACACUUGUAUUGCUGAGUCAAAGCCCGGAGCAUGAGGAGAUACAAAUCAUACACCUUGAUUGAGAUGUGCAAGUGUGUGGAGUAUGAGGAAUUGGUGGAAAUCCUAAUUCUAAAUAUUUUUGGUCACUCCUUUGCAUCAUGACUCUCUUUUAUUUGGAGGAUAAAAGAGAGAGGAAGAGGAAAACAUAUGGGCUCUAUCUCUUAAUAAUUUUUUUUCAUGACGGGGACUUUUGAUUUUUUCUUUCUUUCCUGUCUAUGCCUUUUUGGCUUUUCCCUUUGGAUAUUUUUUUCAACUAUAGCCCAUAUGUCUUGAUGAAUGGAAUCAGAGAAAUUUAAAGAGAUGUCAUGAGGACAAAAAGUAAGGAGUGAAUUUGGGGAUGCGGAAAUCUCAGGAUGAGAGUUUGGCAUUUUUAUUUGGUGGAAAGCUAAGGCACAACUCUCAGGAUAAGAGUUGGCAAAAAAUUUUGGUGGAUGGAAGGGUGCAUGUUGUGCGCGACUUCUCAGUGUAAGAGUCGGCUUUAUUUGGUGGGUGUAAGUGAAUCUCAAUCACGGGUGCAUGACCAUAAUCUCACUCUAGGAUCUCAGAGAUUUGACCCGACUCAAAGUUCUACAAGCCGCAUAUGACUAAAGGUUUUAAGAACUGAGUAACAAGUCAUCUGGCCUUGGUAGGUAUUUCAUAAUCAUUGAGGAACCCUUUGUUUUAAAUUUUUGAAAAGAAAACUCUGGAUGUCAAGUUUCUCUUAAGACAAAGUCAUAGCAAAAUCUAUUUGUACCAUAUCAUGUCUCGCAACAGCUUAGAAAAGGAUCAUGCGCAACCCACAAGAUUUCAAGUUUUCAGAAUAGGACAUUUUUAGCCAACAAACUUAAAUCUUGAUGAAGACUAAGUUAUAACUUAGACACUAAAGAAUUAUAGACAGAGCAACUAUUCAUCAUUUCAGCAGAAGAGCAACUAGCAUAUUAAAACACAUAUGAGAGAGGAUUUUAUUUUUAUAUAUAUAAAGAAAAGAGUGCUGAAAAUUAAAUACUAAAAUUGAAGUGCAAGAAAAUAAGAUACAUGUUACCUCUAUGGGGGUUCUCCCCCAAGCUAGCUUAUUGCUGCGGUCCUUGGAAAAGUCCAAUAGACCGUAGCAAUGCCAACUGCUCCUCGUGCCGUCGACGGUUCGCGUCCUCUAAGUCCACGAAGCUCUGCUGGGUCUGCUGAUGCCAUUGGGUGGAAGUCUGGAUGUGGGCAUUCAGCGUUCCCUGGAUCUGUCUUUGCUGGAGCUCCACUCCACCCAUGCGAGUGUUGAGGGAGUCUAGGGUGACUUGAGGGCGAAUAGGAGGUGGCAUGUCUUAUUCAUUUAGGGUGUGCUCCUGAUGUGGUUGCCCAGAUCCUCCUACUUCGUGUGAAUGCUGUCCCUGGAGCCUCCUGCUCCGUACAUCUCCUACCAGCCCGAGCCUCCUGCCUCAUAUGGUGAAGGAACAUACCCCAUACCAUAACCAUACCCAGGGCUGAACCCAGGUGUGGUCAUAGUUGGGGACCAUCCCCUCUCUGGUGCAGCUGGUGCUGGCGUAGGCUGGGUUGGUUGAGCUUGCUGUGCUGCCUCCUCUUGCCUCAUCCUGUGUGAUUCCUUGCGAGAAGCAGAACUCCUACGAGCUUCUUCUUUCUUAACAAGCUCGAAGGUGAGAGAUGGGCAAGUAUAUAAAGUGAGAUCCGGGUUAGGUAACGGAAUCUCGUUUAUAUAUCCCGGAAAAUAAAACACAAAGCCAUUUCUGGAUGCAUUGCGCUUGAUCACAUGGGCUUGUGCCAGAUAAUGCUCAUUAAUCAUGAUGCGAGGAGAGGUAAGGUAAACAAUAGAAUUAGCAGCCUGUGGAUUAACACUAGCAGCAAGACAAGUGAUGAGUGAAGUGCACAAGAUAGGUGUGGCAGUUUUAAAAGAAUGCAGCCAAUGCUUAACAAUUUCAUAAACAGGUGCAACUUUGAUUUUCUUAAGCAUGGCAUAAAGCAUCUUCAACUCAAGAUCCAAAACCAGAUGGGUAUCAUCCCUAGAGAAAAAAGAAGAAGCAAGCCACUUAUGCAAAAGCCUAAGUGUGGGAUGAUGGAUGUUGUUGGCAUUGGGUUGGAAUUUUCCCACAACGUUCUGUCCCGAGAUCAGGUGCCAGAAACUAUGACGAUUAUAACCAGAGAGGGAUAAAUCCAAAUUGAUAGAGCAGUGCGCAUUAAAGCCUAAGUGUGCCACCACAUCUUUCUAGUAAAGGGAGUACUCAACUCCAAAGCAACGGAAAGAAAUACAAUAAUCAACGAUUUGUAGAGUGCCCAAAAAUUGGAUCGUUAGAAGACAUGAUCCAAGCUCAUGAACAGGGGCAACUCGGCUCCAACCAACAUGCUCGAAAACGGUAUUAAAUUCUACAUCCAUACCUAUCUGUUUGAGGAGGACAGGGUCGAACGUCGGCGAGUGCAAGAACACGCGUUCCUUCAGGAGCUCGUACGCCUGCUUCCCCCGAUCACUCUCCAAGUCGAUGAAGGGGGCGUCAGCUUCGUUGAUGGCGUGGCCGGUGAGCGUCUCCCCUUCAUCUUGCGAUGGUUGACCCUCUUGUGCAGGGGCACUCGAGCUGGAUCCCCUACGCGAGCGACGACCUCUCCGGAGUAGCCCGGAAACUCGAUCACCGAUUCCACUCAUGGUGGGUAGCUAGCACUUUGAGCUUGAGCAAGAGGUUGUGCAGAUUUUUCUUGCACAAAAGCUUAUGUGGACAAGAGUGAAGAAUGGUGGAUCAAGUGGAAGAUGGAGGGAGUGAAGAAAAUAUGAAUGUGAGAGGGGUGAGGUUCUCCACCCGGGAUCCUCUCUAUUUAUAGAGCUGAUCGCAGGCGCGGGAGCCCCCUCCACAACGGUCACUAGCCGUUGCCAGAAGGCGGCGGCCAGUAGCCGUUGGGCAGGGUGCGGCCGCAACCAGGUGGGCCCCACUCUGCGUCCCCUUUUGGCAGCGCCCUCCAACGGCUACUCCAAGGGAGUAGUCGGUUGCUGAUGGGUCUGGUUCGAAAACUUGCUCCAGAUCUUGAUUUUCCACAAAUUUAUUCUAAACUUUUUAUUUUUCAAAAAUAAAAUAAAAAUAAGAUUUGAAAAUCUAAAAGCCUCUAAAAACAAGAAAUGAUUUUUAUAAGAUUUUUGGAGAAAUUUUAUUUUAGACUAAAACAAGGAAUUUUGUAAAAUGAGAGAGAUUUAGAAAAUAUAAUAUAUUUAUAUACUUUUAUAAAGAUAAAAACUCUUCUUCUCUUUUUUUUCAAGGAGGAUUAGAAUAUAAUACCUGAGUGGGGGCACCUCCCCCAAGCUUGGAUGAUAGUGCGGGCCUAUCAGAUACAAAUUCUUUCCUUAUAUAUAUAGAAAUAUAUAUAUAUUUUUGAUAAAUACCGAAGACCUUUCGGCAAGGGCACAACGUUUAUAGUCCAUUGGCGAGACUCUUCUUCCUUCAUUGCCCUGUAGCUGCAUGAACAAACUCAGAGGAAGGUUCGGGUUGCCCCGGAAUCUUCCCCGUGUCGUUGACAGGGAUAGAAGCAGCUAUCUGAGCCAUCUGUGUUUCUAUCAUUUUAUUAAAGCUAGCUUGAUUUUUAACAGACGAAGAAAGAGCUUCAAGCUUAGCAUUUAUAUUUUCAAAAACUUUGUCAUUAAAGGACAACUUCUUGGUAAGAUUCUCAUUGAUCUUAGCUUGUCCUAGAACAAGAUCUUUCAAGGAAGGUUGAUUUUGAAAAAGAGUUUGAGAAGUUAUUACCUUGUAGGCGGUGCUAAUUGUACCACCCACUGUUAUCUUGCUAAGGUGGCCUAUACCCGUUGUUGACGAAUGAAGCUUCUUCUUGGGUCUUAGGUCAAUUGUUCCCUGAGUGGCCAUUGUCACCUAGACUUCACACGAUGUGUGUGAGUCUAUGGAUUGGACGGUGUUGGUAUUGAUUAUAGUGUCGUCCAUCUUCUAUAACAGCAAGUCGAUUUUUGCGGCCAACAGCUCUGUCUCCUUAGCGGACUGUGAGCCUCUUUGUGUUUUCCUUCCUUCUCCCCAACUUUGGUUCGCCACCAUCUUCUCGAUGAGGGCGGUAGCUUGGGCAAUGGUGAGAGAAAGGAAGGCACCUCCAGCUACGGCAUCAACGUGCCCCUUUGACAUGGCCGUAAGGCCUUCGUAGAAGUUCUGGAGCACUAGCCAGUCUUCCAUUCCAUGAUGAGGACAGGCUCGAAUGUACUCCUAGAGCCUUUCCCAUGCUUCAAGGAUGGACUCUAGUGAAUACUGUUGGAAGUUCGAGAUCUUCCCCCUUAGAGCACUGGUUUUGCUCAUGGAGAAGAACUUAGCGAGGAAUGCCGCAGAACACUUGUUCCAGGUGUCUACAGCUUCCUUGUUCUGGUAGAACCACUAUUUCGCCUUUCCCGUGAGGGAGAAAGGAAACAGACGGAGCCUGAUGCUGUCUUGUGCGACGUCUUUGAUGACGAUAGUGUCGCACAACUCAAGAAGUGUUGAAGGUGAGCGUUGGCAUCUUCGCUUGGCAAGCCACAGAACUGACUUGCCUGCUGUUGAUAUUUGGUAACACAAUAAGAAAAUGAUCCGCAAGCGCACGGAUAUCGGUGAGCAUUUCACCCGAGAGGUUUUCCAAAGUAUCGUAUUUAUAUUUUUACCACUGGGAGAAAGGGUGCAUCUGACUAACCAAAUCUAUUGCUACUAUCCCUUUAGGCUACAAAGAAUGUCUCUCGAUGUGAGUGAUGUAUAGAGAAGAUUGCAACCGUAGUCUCGUUCUAACCUUGGUAAGGAUGAUCUACUAUUCUAUUGGGGAGGCUCACGGAAUCUAGACAACACAAAGGAUGUUCGACCCGCACCUAUAAACCUACCCGUCCUGCUAACGAGAUGUGGUCUGCAAAAGGUAACUCGGAAAUGUCACGUUCCUCGCUACUACCACGGUCCAGCUAGUCAGGGAAUAUCUAUGAGUACCCUAGCCUAAACACCACAUUUACACCAGCAAUGAUAACUCUAAUACUCAACCGAAAGAGGAUUAAAGUAAACUCAUAAACCAAAGAACAAUAAAACAAGAACUUACUAGAAUUAGAAGUCGAAUUACUGAAGAAUCUUAGAAGCAAGCCUCGGGUUAGGAGACUUGAUCCCGUAGGUACAACUCGGAGUAGACACCGACAGGCCGGCCUUCCUCCGAUCCACACCUCCACUCUAUCUCUCUCAAUCUAGUAGAAACUAGAAGAUCUAUUUCUUCUUUACAUUGGUUGCUAAGCCUAAAAAGAAAUAUUAUUUAGAGAAGAGGUUUUUCUUCGAGGGCACCCCUCAAUCUCUAUAAUAAUUUCUUGUCCUCCUCCAGGGGCCAGGGGCCUUGCUUAUAUAGUCCUCCUCCUCUGUGCGUUUUUGGUUCAGCAGGCGAUGUGGUACUAAACUUUGCACCCUAUCUCAUUAAAAUGCACAUAGGCCUUAAUGGACCAAAAUCUGAUUUGGGCCCAAUUAAUCCCGCAGCUCUUUUAUGUGGAGUCCUUCUUUUAUUAAUAUCUCUUGAUUCCGAACUCCAAAUAUAGCAAAUAAUAUAUGCAUUUCGAUCAGCUCGACGAGAUCUUUGCAGUGGUGGACUCCAUUCUAUGAUUGGUGGAAACACCUGGACGGGCGCCCAAGGGGGGUGGGCGGGCGCCCUGCCCCCGGGCCCGUUUGCCUUCUCGUUCGUUCCCGUGGCUUCUGGAGUCUUCUAGAUGAUAGAAAAUUGCGCGGUGCGUUGAUAUCUCUAUGUAAUCCCGACAUAUGGGCCUUUCUUCCGUAUUUUCUGAUAACCCCCUGCAGAAAUAGACAAACACCAAAACUCAUGGAAUUCUGUCAGAUAAAACCCUAAGUCUAGAUGUUGAUUUCAUUUGGAUCCUUUUCUUUGUUUAUUUGAUAAUUAAAUUUGAUACUUAAGGACCGUCAACAAACUCCCCCAAGCUUACCUCUUGCUCGUCCCUGAGCAAGGAUGAACUCAAGAGUUUCUGCAGUGGUUUCAUUUCUUAAAAGUACACACGCAUUCAAGCAAGAUCUCAUCUCUGAGUUAGAAUAAACUGUUAAGACUUAAAACUUACUCAUUUUACCUUUUACCAUGGGGCUUGUAACCAUCACUUGUGUCUUGAGCAGUUAAAAGAUAGAACGGUCAAGUCAAGCGCCAUGUCUCUUAUUCUUGAUCAGCUAUAGCUCUGGGGUUUUUUUGCAGAUUUUCAAAUAAAACUCAGAGAUUCCUUAUAUGACUCUCUCAGAUCUCUCUUUUGUGGUAUUUAUGGAUCCUUACCAAGGCAGUAAUGGUAUAUGCCUUCUCUCAAAGUAUGUGGUAUUUUUGGUAUGAAGCAUAGUGAUAUUGCCUUCUCUCUCACCCUACUCUAAUAAAGUUCUGAUAUCUGGAGCUCAUAGGUGGGAGACAGCUAAUACAUACUUACAAGACAUUUAUUGCAUAGUCAAACCAUGGAUCUAGAGAAACAAAUCAAUAAGUCAAAUCAAGAUGUGCAUGUGUGGCGAUAAUGAUGUAUGGUGAUGAUGGUGAUAAUGAUGGUGAAAGUCUAAUUCUAUUUUUUAUGCUCUUUUGAGGGGAUACAUACCUUUCUUGUACUUUGAAGCUUUUUAGGGAGAAUGAGAUGCUCUAUAUUUUCUUUUUCUUUCCUCUCAGGUGGGUAUCUUGUACCCCUAAUUCUACUGUCGGACACUUGUCCAUUUUUACCUCUCGUCUCACUUUUUCUUUUCUUCGAGGUUCCGGGCACUUGCCCCUUUUAAUUUCCUCGUAUUAUUAUUAUUUUUUUCUUCUUCUUUUUUUUAGAGCACUCAUCUCCUGAAAUAAUAUAGCAAGUGGUAGUAACCAAGAUAAAUCGAGCAUUUAUUUCACAGAGAAUAACAGGGAUAGGAAAAUAUUUUUGGCUAUUCUCUCCCAGAUUAGGAGUAGAAUAAUUUUGGGUGAAUCUGGAGAUGGAAAUGAGUGGAUAUAUAUGGAUGGUACUUUCGGAGUAGAAGUAGCAUGUAUGAGUGAACGUGCAAGUGAAUCUUGAUUUUAACCACAUGACAAGCUCCUAAGGGUCUACACAGCUUGACCACACUCAAUUCUCAUAAGCAGUAAAAAGUAAAUAUGUGGCUCAAAGUCUAGCAAGUAUGUAUAUAUGGCUGUGGUAGGAUUUUAAACUCUCAUCAUACAGGAACUCAUCAUGUGUUAUUUUAAAGAUUUUUUAAAGAUAAAAUUCUCCAGAAUUCUAGCAUCUCUAGGAACAGAUAAACAGCAGCUCAACCUUCCCAUAUCAUAUCCGUUAACGACUUAGACUUUAGAUCAAGUACUCUUCCCACAAGUUCAGGUUUAGAGCAAAUCUUACUUCAUAACAGUCAUGCCUAAACUUGAGAGAGAUUUCAAUUUUAAGAACUAGUCAUGGCAGAGCAACUAUUCAUCAUUUCCAUGUGAGAGUUUAUCAUGAGGGUUCAUAGCAAACUUUAUUUAUUUAUUUAGCAAACUAAGCAAAGAUAUAUAUAUAUAUAUAUAUAAAAGCACAAAAUCUUUAUUUGGGUUUUCAUGAUUAUGAAUCUUUUAUUAUUUGAGUAAAGUAUAAACGCGAGUAGAAACACUUAGCUGGAUAAAUGGAGGUGCUCUCCCCCAAGCUGGAUUUUGACGUAAUUUCUUCUGAUGUAGCUAGCAGGUGGCGGAGGUGUAUUUGAAUGUCGGUAGCACCCUGACAGCGAUUAGACUGUCCUCCGUCUGCUAGUCUUCUUGAUUCUUAAAUUCUGUAGAGCUCAAAUAGACAACAAAGCUUUGUGGAACUGGUUAAGUGUUAGCAUAAAUAUCUAGCCUUUAUCAUGUUGAGCCUCCUCAAUAAAUAUUACUUAUUUAGCAGGAUUAUGCAUUUAUUAUUUUUAUAUUUUUAUUGUAAGAUGAAAACUUCUUUAUUUUAUUUUUAUGCCACCACAGUGAAUGUACUUAUGGGUUUUAUGCCAUGAGCAUACUCACAUGGGGCUUACUAUUUUUUUAACAUUUUUAUUUUCUUUUCAAGAUAGCAUGAACCUGAUUAACUAAGCAAACUAUAGAAUGGAAAAGGAUAACUACCAAUUUUACCUCUUGGCAAGGCGUUCGAUGUUUUUAAGUCCUCCGAGCGGGAUUCCUUGUGUUUUCGGUUGUCCUGGGAUUCGCUAGGUGGCGUAGUCGGUGAUUUCGGCGGCGCCUCUUCUUUGUGUGUAACUAUCUUCUCUCUUCACACCUAACUCGGUGCUACGGUCUCCUCAGGAUAGUUAUGUUCAAGUGGUAUGUCUUCAGUCCUUAUUACUUCUCCUUCGUAGUCUACCCAUCUGUCCUUGAUGAUUUGCCUCCUCUGGUUGUGGUUGCGUUGUCUUCUUCUUGUCCUGACCUGCUUAGAAUCUUCAAUUAUAUAGUUAAGGUCAGUAAAAUAGCGGCGUACCUUCUCUGAGGGGAAGUACAUGUGGACUUCUCCGGUUCCAAUGUAGAUGAUAACAUUGAUAGUGUUGAGGAACGGUCUUCCAAGGAUGAUGGGUGGAUCGUACUCGUCUUCUCCCAUGUCAAUGAUCUGAAAGUCAUCUGGAGCUAAAUAUAUAUUGGUUGUAGGAGCAUGGUUCCAUGCAGGAGCUGAUAAGUGACUGCGGCCAUUAUGUUGACGUUAGAUCCGGUGUCGUAGAGUGUUUUCUGAAAAGAGUAUUCAUUGAUUGUGCACUCAAUGCUUGGAACACCAGGGUCGUCCUUCUUGAUCAAGAAAGGUGACUUGAGUCGACGAUCUUGACCUCCUUGAGCUGUAGUGACCAUCUUAGCGGACUCGGUCCACAUUUGCUUGUUCUUGUUCCUCCUGUUGGUCCUCUUCCUUGGUUCAUGUCAGGAUUGCUCUGAAGUUUGUCUAGUCUUGUUCUUGAAGGAAAAUCUCCUCCUUGAUGUAGAGACUGAUCUUGGCAGCAUUAGCGUAGAUGACAGCUCUGGUGUUUAGAAAUGGCCUCCCUAAGAUGAUGGGUGCCCUCUCCUCAGUACCAGUCUCUAUCACCGCGAAGUUUGCUGGAGCGUACAAGGUACCAACUCGGACACAGAGGUUCUUCAAUAUUUCCUUUGGGAAACUAAGUGUCUGAUCUCCAUUGUGUUUGUGCUCAUAGAUCCCGGUUCUUCACUUGGUGGAAUCUGGGAGUUGUAAAACUCCUCCAUGUUUUGUUUGAAGUGUACCUAUUCAUAAAGACAAGGCAGAGAUCAAGUGCAUGGGCCCUGUUGGUGGAAAACACCAACAGAACCAAAAGUGUAUUUGUUCUUCUCUAACCUUAAGCAUAGUGAGCAAGACAAAGUUUGAUAGAUAAUAAGAUCAUGAGUGUAGUAUUUAAAACAUUUGUCAGAUCAGAUUGAUCGACCUAAUGGAAAGAUAAUCUUCCCAAAGAUUGAAUGUGUAACAUUUUAGCUUAUAUGCUUAGGAGUGUGGGAUCACGAAGGUAGUACUAAGAACAAGGACUAAACAUGUUGAUUUAAUUGAGUUGGUUAAUCUGGAAAUAUAAAUCAUACAUGUUUGUCUCUUUAUUUAUGUGAAUGCUAGAACCAAGGAGAACUUAUAAAAGUGAUAAUCAAGUACCUUAAGGUGUUACCUUACUUGAAGAGUGACGGUACAGUAUCACCUUGUGGAAGCUUUCCUUUCUUAGCGGUUGUGCAUCGUGUUUGUGGCAUUCUCCAUGAAUCAUCUCUUAUGAGCUACGUCUUCCUUGUGUAAAUUGUUAAACUUCAUUUGUCCCUCUCCUUGUCUCCAAUGUGAGUUUAUCUCAGGACUUCCUAGGUUGAUAUUGGAAGUUCUCCUGCAGGGGUUAGUCCCACAAAAUAUACCAAUAUCUACUCAAGCAGUUUUUAGUUCAGUAACCAAACUAGACUCCAUGUCUAAUCAGAUUAAGGAAGGCUAUUUAACCUAAGCACCACGCUUAAUUUAAAUGCCAUUGGAAGUGUGUCCGGUACUUCCAAACUAACACUUACUAGGAUAAACAAAGGUAGCAUGAUGGCUUUUAUAGAGAUCUACUCAAGUGGAGAUGAAGUAGUGUGAUUAGUAUUUAACAAAUUGAGCAUGUCCCAAAGGUAAGGACAACCAACAUAGCAGCAUGGCAAAGGAUGUUUUAUGUAAAGUACUCCCCCAAGCUUGAAUUUUGCAAAAUUCAAGAUUGGAUGAAUUUAAUUUAAUGUUGCAUGAUGAUUGGUUGGGCAUACCUUGCGCUUGUCAUUCAUCCGAUCUUCUUGCUCCAAUCCUAGAAAGGUUAGUGGCAAGAAUACCCGAAGGAAUAUUUCUACAAUUAUCUUUAUAUGCUCAAUACACAAGGCAAUGUUGCAAAUAAUUAGAAGUUCUUGUUUUAGGACACUAAGCUUGUCCUUGGGGAACCAUCAAUUAACUCAACGAGAUCUGCAAUAUUUAUUAUAGACAUAUGCAUCGACAACCGCCCUUUUAAAGUUUUUAUAAAUAGAAAAGAAGAGGGGGUUGGAGAUCUCAAAUGUGGUAAGGAUGGAGAGACAAAUUGAUUGGAGAGAUGUUUUAUAUGAGCAAGGACUGGGUGAGGUAUUUAUGAAAUAACUUCCAUGUUCACUGUUGUUUCUCUCAUUCUCAAACUCCAAGGAUGAUUCUUCGUGAAUGUUUAAAAUUCCUCUAGGAUUGUCUCUCAAGUUUGUUUUAUCUAUCCAUUCAAUGGUGAUAGCACAUGGAUUUUUAAUGCCCUCUAGCCAUUGAUGUUGCUCUUCUCGAUCCUCCUUGUAGUCUUGGUGACUCUUAUGAGUGGGAUGUCUAGAUAGAUUUAUAGGAUCAUCGGGAGGUUCAAGAGAAAGAGCAUAGGAGAAAUUAUUAGGCUCAAGGAUGGGUUGGAUAGCCGAAUUAUGGGAUUGAAAUGUUUGGAAAUCGGCUAUUGAAACUUCCUCUCCUUGUAUGGGAGAUGAUUCCUUCUCUACCUCGAAGAUUUUUCUAUGAAGACUAGUACAAGAAGGAUGUCCACGAAUGAAGACAUACCUUCCUUUACUAAGAGAUAAAGAAAGAAGGACUCUACCAAAGGUUAUAUGAUUAAGACCAAUGUGAAAAUAUUUAGGAAAAACAUGGUCUUGUCGGGCUAGGUCUAAACCAAAAUUUAUAGAAAGAUUAAAAGAUUCCCUAGGUGUAGCUAAAAGUGCAUUAUCUUCUUGAUUAAAAGAUAGGACCUCGGCUAUAGAAAAGGGUUGGUUUUGACCUAUUGCAAUCAACUCCGGACACAGAUCAUAAUUAAAGGCAGGACGUGUUGACUCCCAUGGUCUAUGGCUGGUCUCCGAAGGUGCAAAGAAUUUAAUAAUAGGUAUGGAAUUUGAGUUAUCCAUAAAAAUAAAAAGAUAAAAGAAUAAAAGUAUAAAAGUAUAAUACAAGAUAAUAGCAAGACUCAAAGUUAUCUCAGCAAACCGUCUUUCUCCCCGGCAACGGCGCCAGAAAUGCUUGUUGAUAUUUGGUAACGCAAUAAGGAAAUGAUCCGCAAGCACACGGAUAUCGGUGAGCAUUUCACCCGGGAGGUUUUCCAGAGUAUCGUAUUUAUAUUUUUACCACUGGGAGAAAGGGUGCAUCUAACUAACCAAAUCUAUUGUUACUAUCCCUUUAGGCUACAAAGAAUGUCUCUCGAUGUGAGUGAUGUAUAGAGAAGAUUGCAACCGUAGUCUCGUUCUAACCUUGGUAAGGAUGAUCUCCUGUUCUAUUGGGGAGGCUCACGGAAUCUAGACAACACAAAAGAUGUUCGACCCGCACCUAUAAACCUACCCGUCCUGCUAACGAGAUGUGGUCUGCAAAGGUAACUCGGAAAUGUCACGUUCCUCGCUACUACCACGGUCAAGCUAGUCAGGGGAUAUCUAUGAGUACCCUAGCCUAAACACCACGUUUACGCCAGCAAUGAUUACUCUAAUACUCAACCGGAAGAGGAUUAAAGUAAACUCAUAAACCAAAGAACAAUAAAAUAAGAACUUACUAGAAUUAGAAGUCGAAUUACUGAAGAAUCUUAGAAGCAAGCCUCGGGUUAGGAGACUUGAUCCCGUAGGUACAACUCGGAGUAGACACCGACAGGCCGGCCUUCCUCCGAUCCACACCUCCACUCUAUCUCUCUCAAUCUAGUAGAAACUAGAAGAUCUAUUUCUUCUUUACAUUGGUUGCUAAGCCUAAAAAGAAAUAUUAUUUAGAGAAGAGGUUUUUCUUCGAGGGCACCCCUCAAUCUCUAUAAUAAUUUCUUGUCCUCCUCCAGGGGCCAGGGGCCUUGCUUAUAUAGUCCUCCUCCUCUGUGCGUUUUUGGUUCAGCAGGCGAUGUGGUACUAAACUUUGCACCCUAUCUCAUUAAAAUGCACAUAGGCCUUAAUGGACCAAAAUCUGAUUUGGGCCCAAUUAAUCCCGCAGCUCUUUUAUGUGGAGUCCUUUUAUUAAUAUCUCUUGAUUCCGAACUCCAAAUAUAGCAAAUAAUAUAUGCAUUUCGAUCAGCUUGACGAGAUCUUUGCAAUGGUGGACUCCAUUCUGUGAUUGGUGGAAACACCUGGGAGGGCGCCCAGGGGGGUGGGCGGGCGCCCUGCCCCCGGGCCCGUUUGCCUUCUCGUUCGUUCCCGUGGCUUCUGGAGUCUUCUAGAUGAUAGAAAAUUGCGCGGUGCGUUGAUAUCUCUAUGUAAUCCCGACAUGUAGGCCAUUCUUCCGUAUUUCUUGAUAACCCCCUGCAGAAAUAGACAAACAACAAAACUCAUAGAAUUCUGUCAGAUAAAACCCUAAGUCUAGAUGUUGAUUUCAUUUGGAUCCUUUUCUUUGUUUAUUUGAUAAUUAAAUUUGAUACUUAAGGACCGUCAACACCUGCACCAUCGAGAUGAGGCCAAUACAGAUCUCGAAGUUGCCAUUCCCAACAUUAAUAGCGGGCCCAACGGGCAUGUUGGCAACAGCAAGAGUGGAGUAGUCACGGAGAGUCUUGGCCAUCGCGAAAAAUACGAUUGGUGCAGGGGUGAUUGGUUUGUCUGCCGGUGACGUAGCAGAGGAUGAAGUGAUGAAUGCCUUUUUCUUCCGUACUAGUUUCUCUGGAUUGCUGAGGAAGUUGUCCGGUAGGUCAAAACUAGUCAUACACUAUCCUAUUUUAUUCCAAUAAAAAUACGGAAGAAAACAGCAAAGUUAGUCUAUUUAAACUAUGACUACGCAUGCUUAUUAUGCAAUCAAUGUUAUUUCCAGCAAGAUGUUAAAUGCCUUCCCCGCAAACGCACCAGAAAUGCUUGUUGGCGUUUCUUAGCGAAACCACUAAGGAUAGAGUUUAAGUCCAUCCCUAAUGAUAACACUAUAAACGUUCUUGGCAUAUCCUAACCACCAUCACAUCAGAAUGAUAACCCAAGGCUCUUUACGGCGCGGGCCUAGGCAGUGCAGUCUGGUACUGAUGAUUAGUAAUGCCAGAUUGGCCUUCCUAACCAUCCUUACGAUAUGCAAAGCUGUGGCCCGGCGCCGGGUGAGUGCACAAGGAUUACAAUCUUAAGUAAAGGUACUUAGGUACGCCAAUCGAUAGCUCAAUAUGAAAUAAGAAUAACUUUGCAAGCGCACAGAACUAUCAUUGUAGCAUUUCAACCCGUAAAUGGGUGUCGUAUUUGUAAUUCCCGUAGGAAGGCAUUUAUAUCUAGCAUGGUUAUAACAUGAUUACUUAUUAAAAUGCAUGGUAGGCAUAGAGUAAACAGGGGUAAGAUAUGAUAUUUGGAGAUAGUGGACACACAUCUGGGUCAUCCUCAAGGAUAAAAGAUAAAACAAAGAAUAAAAGAAUAUAACUACUGAGCAGGCAUGGUUCGUAUAUAACUCUGCUAAGAACUGUUAGUAAGUCAUCUAACUAGCAUGUCUAGAGAUAGGAUCAGGUUUGAGAUGAUAGGGAGAUCCCCAUAGCUGGUCUGCCAACAAAUAGAGACGUUACAUGACUCCUACCGAAUAUCCGAACGUGGGGGAAUACGAAGGAUGACAGGGCUGUCACCACUGUUGACGAUCCUUAAGUAUCAAAUUUAAUUAUCAAAUAAACAAAGAAAAGGAUCCAAAUGAAAACAACAUCUAGACUUAGGGUUUUAUUUGACAGAAUUCCACUAGUUUUGGUGUUUGUCUAUUUCUGCAGGGGGUUAUCAGGAAAUACGGAAGAAAGGCCCACACGUCGGGAUUACAUAGAGAUAUCAACGUGCCGUGCAAUUAUCUUACAUCUAGAAGACUCCAGAAGCCACGGGAAGGAAGCGGAGGCCGAACGGGGCCUGGCCCUGGGCGCCCGCCCAGGUGACCAGGGCGCCCGCCCCCUCUUGGAGACCAAACAGGACUCUCUCUCGGGGUCAAUCUCCACCGACCUAUAGGAUCAAGGAUAACCGUUCAAUCAAUGUCGGUUUGAUCCAACGGCCCAUAUUCACUUGAAGGGACUAUAAAACCAGAUCCCCUGGCCCCUGGAGGAGAGAGCCUCUCAACCCUAAUUCAUUAUUCUUCAAGGGAGAAGAAGCUUCUGAUCAAGCCUAGAGCCACCACAUCAAUUAGACAUCUAGAUUAGCAUAGCUACAUAGGAUUAGAACUAGAAGGAGUCAAUCUUCGAUUGGUUUCUGGAUCUGUCAAGAGGAUUCUUGGUAAUUCUCUAAUUGUUUAUCUUGUUCUUCAAUAUUAUGAAUAUGACUUUGUUCUACUUCAAUAUAUUGCUUAUGACUUUGCUCAACUUGUUUAUAUUCAAGAUUAUAUUGUUCUUAGUCUAUCAUAGUUAUAUACUUGGCUUAGUUAGAUUGGAUCUAUAUACAUGUUUAGGAUCGUAUAGCGUUUAUCCAUCGGAUCCAUGGGUAAAUGAUAGAUAUUGUGUAGACAUGGUGCUUAUACCGUAUUUAUCUGCGAUUGUACCCAAUAUGCCAGAUUGUGGGGUAGUUCGUGAUAGUGACAGCUUCAUUGAUUCUUAUAUAGUCCCCCUCUCGUGUAUUGGGCUGGCAGAGCAACAUUAUUACAGGGGAGUGAUUGCUAUGUUUCUCAUUUAUGUGGCAGAACCUCCUAAGUGUUUGGGCCCACCGACACCUGUCAUUGUCCUAAGGACCUCUGACGGUGAUGUCGGGGAUCCUCCCACUCUAGAAGUCCGAUGAGCAUCUCAGGACGCUCAUUCCACCGCUACCUGUGGCGUAUCAAGCAAGCUCGUUCUGACCACUAGUGAUGGUCAAUUAACGAGAACUUCUUCUUCUCGCCCUUACAGGAUAGCAAGUGGCCACCUUAACACCAGGAUCACUCGUUGCGAAGACAUUGUAGUAUUACAAACGACAUAAGACCAAAAUAAUAUUUCAGAGUAAAGCAGCGGAAGUAUUACAUAACUUAAUUUACAAAAUUAGUUCUUCCAAAUAGUAGAGUGUUAUUACAAGCCAGGUCCAGCGGAGCAACUUAAACUUUAGUACACAGAUUACAAUUUUACAAACCCUGCCCAUGGGUCACGCUCACUCUUCCUCGUCGUCAACCUCGACGACGGUCACACAAUAGGAUCCGAAACAUGUCGGCUCCUGAGCUUCACCUGCAACAGGGGUCAUAAAACCCUGAGUACGGGAGUACUCAACAAGACUUACCCGGCGGAAAAAGAGGAGAAAUUAGGGAUGCAGGCUUGGGGUAGACAAGGAGUGGCUGAGCAAGGAGCCAAGUUGUUUUGCUAAAAAGCUUACUAAUAGUGCAUCCUUACUUUCAAGUUUUACCCGCGAAUUCCUCUCCUUAAGAGGCCGAGGAGUUCGAGGACAGUCUAUCUAGUUGCUUCUCACAGACAAGUCUGUAAGUUCCUAGUCCUUAAUUUAAGUAUUACCUAUCCAACGGCCAUAGCUUCAUGUCACUCUAAGUCCGGGAAUUGGGAUCCGAACCUCAUGAGACAUUCCCCCCUUUCUCAUUUUUUCACUUAGUUGCAUAUUUAUCUACGAUGAGGGUCAGUGGAUUGAGUCUCCCAAUCGGGAAGCAACGACGAUUCGAACCGCUUAGCAAUCCAGCUGGAGUUCCUAACCACCCGACAUAUGUAGAACCAAAUCUUGCAUAUGUCAACCCAAAUCAAGCUAUCCCCAAAUUUGACUAGGUUCGCGGCACCCGAGAGCACAGUACUCCACCAUCCUACAGCCGAUCUAGAUGUUUUCCGGUCAUCUCAGAUCCGUAAGGUGGGUACACGCUACUCUCGCCAUCGCUCCACGCCUAGUGCGCGAGUAGCUGUUCGCGUCGAGGGAUCACAAGACCGGGCUUACCGAGGGCAAGUGGCUAGUACUAUAAAUUCUCAACCCAGCGGGCCAUCAACGGACCGGUCCUUAACCAACACAGUUGGAGACACUACUUUAAGACUCCAUUCUUAAAGCAAGUCCACCGACCGGUCUCAAAUUGAAACAUCAUUGAUCAUAAGUGUAUUCCACAACAACCCUUCAAACUUUGUUUGAAAGCCUAUCUAGUAGCAGGGCUAAGCAUAACUACGCAAAUUUUAAAAUAAAACAGGUGCCAAGGACAAGAUAACAAAUAUCAAGGUAGUAAAUGUAGCAAGUAGGAUAACCCAAUUCUCAACUACUUAAUGCAGCAUUUUCCAUUCAUAAGUGAUAAAAGAUUUCAAACAUUCAAGGAGGGGUUAAUGCAUCCGGGGCUUGCCUUGGUUGCAGAGCUGAUAGGGACCCUCGGAGACUUCCCAAGUCUCGGAUCCUACUUCCUCGAACGGAGCACCGACCUCGGGGUUCGGUUCAACGGUCGCUCCUUCGGUCACGGGCACUAUACGAAAAUGAUGGAUGCUCAUGAUAUGCGUAUGACAAAUAUUUAAGGAGGACCGAGUUAAGUACAACUGGCCUUCUCGGUGCAACACAGACUAAACAAAAAUUAAAGUUGUUACCAUUUUAAUGUUUUUACCCAAGAGGUUGCAUCAGUAAAUUAAGAUUUCUCUUAAUUCAUAAUUAUCCUUAAUUAACUAAUUAUUAAUCCUUUUUAUCUUAAUUAAUUCUUAAUUAAGUACUGAUGACGCUAAUUAAACAUUAAUGCCAAACAAUCAUUAAAUGCCAAAGGUCAUUAAGGUUAAUGACCUCAGGUCAUCACACAAUCCCAAAAUCACUCAAACCCUAAUUUUGAGAAUUUAAACUAAUUAUUAUCUAAUUAUUCUAGAAUUAUUAUUUAAUUACUAAUUAAGGGUAUAAUAAUAUUUUAUUCAAACAGUAUCCAAAUGCCACCAAAUUUUGUGUGAAGCCUGGGAAUAAUAUUCAGAGGCUUCUCACAAUUUUUGGUGAUUUUUGGAUAUACCCAUAAAUUAUGAAAAUUCAUGGAAGUUUUAUUUGCUAAUUAAAAGAGGCAAUUUUUAUAUACAUGCAAACUACCAGAAAAUAGAAUCCAAUAUUUUUGCUAGGUUCUACUCAUUUUAUGGAACCUAUACAGAAAUUUCCAUGAUUUUUGAAUCAGUAUACAAUUUACUACACAAAAUCAAACAUAACACAAAUUUUGCACAAAAGGAAAAAGGAAAAAGCACUAUGCUGCGAGCGGCCCAGGAACUCGACCCGCAGGCCGGCCCGUUCUCGCUCGGCCCACGCGCGCGCUGCGCGCGUUGCUCUUCUCCUCUCUCUGCAGGUCGCUGAUGGGCGGGUCCCGCCCGUCAGACCUUUCUUCCUCCUCUCGCCGCGGCUCCGGCGAGCUCAAGCAUGCCGUCGGCGAGCUCCCGGCCUCCGCGAUAAGGCAGGCCAGCACCCUCAGCCCCCUACGCAUCUCUUGCGGUGCUCGGACCACGUGCUAGCCCCCUCAAUCCCCCUUGCUCGCGUCCACGGCGGACGGCGGCACUAACCGCGCGAGCACCGGCCACUACAAGCAAGUAACGUGCGAACCAAAGAGCGCAUAAGCAUAAGUGGCUCACCGCGACUUCAACGAAGCAAAGAGCGGCGGUGGAGAAGCUUGGAGAAGAGCUGGCCGCGGUGAGGUGUUCACAGCGACGUUUCGGCCGGGAUUGGAGAAGAAUGGCUCGGGUUGGAGCUACGACAGGGUAGAGCUUGCGCUCGGGGGCGCAAACGGUGGCUAAGAUCUUGGCGAAGCUGUUGGUGUGCUUGGGUGGUUUGGAAGGGAAGCAGGCGAGGUGAAUUUGGCAGGCGCAGCAAGCUCGUCGGCGUCGGGGUUUCGAGAAGAAGAAGUGUUUCCACGGCGGCUCGGGGUUUUAUCCCCGCAACGCAGUGCUUGCUGCGGAUGAGGACGCCAGGGCGACGCCCAGCAGGCAAGCAGCUGCGUGGCCAGGCGCGUGGCGGCGCUGGACGCAGCAGCUCUGCCCCGGCGGCAGAGCAUCCCCCCUGCUCGAGCACUGUAGCGAGCCCUAUCCAAACAUUUUGUUGUUUUGCAAAAUUCGCCCAAAUUUUGAACUAAAGUCCAAAAUCUAUUAAAAUGAAAGUUGUUUACAAUUUUACAAGCUACAAAACAUGUUUUGGUGACCAAAGAUAAUUCUGAGUGGAAAAGGGUGAAUUUGACAAAACAGUUUGGAAUUCAAAUCUCAAUUUAGGGAAAUUCAAAAUUUUGAAUUGGGGCAGAUCAGAAUUUCCAAAAUUACUUUUGAUUUUUCAACACAACUUGAAAAAUUCCCAACAUGAAAGUUGUUCAAAUUUUUGAGCUCUACAACUUUCAUGUUGGUCACUUUUCAAAAUUCCACAUAGAUUUUGAAUUGGAGAUUCAAAUUGGAAAAGGGGACACUUUUUGGAAAUCUGUAUGUUCAAAAUUACAUUGAAUUUUCUAUUGAAACUUCAAAAACUCGAAACACCAAAGUUGUACAUCUUGACAAGAUCUACAACUUUGCUUUUGAACUCAACCUGAAAUUUCGCUUAGUUUCUAAAUUACACAAAAGGGGGCAAAACAAGGUUUUUAAAAUCAGGGUUUCCCCCCCAUUUUCUCGGAAAUCUUUCACCCUAGGAAUUAUACAACCAACACAAGCAUCACUUCACAACAUAAGCACACUUUAGUUCCCUAAGCACAUUCAACCAAAUUAGACUUAUUUUAAGUUAAUGCAUCAGGAUGUGCUUAACAAAUAUGCUAUGCAAUGCUUAUGAUGACAUGAUCCAAUUUUAGUAACCGUAACAUCAGGGAUGUUACAGCCCUUCCCCCUUAAAGAAAUCUCGUCCCCGAGAUUUAAAACCUUAGGGUAUGUAAUGGAAAAGGAAAUUUGUCAAACUAUUUCAUCUUCAACCUUUUCAUAAGACAAGAAGCUGGGGAAGACUACUUAAGCAUAAACACAUAUGUACAUUAAGUACAUGGCUUUGGCUACCCUUUUCCUUCACUAAAGUACACUUCCUAUUUAUUGGAUGUUGUCUUGAAGAGAAGCAUGGAACUCAGGAAAAUUCUCCAUUAGAUAAUCUUCAGAUUCCCAUGUGGCUUCCUCUUCAGAGUGCUAGCUCCAUUGCACCUUGUACCACUUGGUAGUUGUUCUUCGAGUAACUCUAUCUCUUUGGUCCAAUACUCGGAUAGGGUAUUCCGCAUAAGUCAGAUCUGGUUCAAGUUCCACAUCUUCGAUAUCUUGAACUUGGUCUGGUACCCGAAGACACUUUUUUAGUUGAGAGACAUGAAAUACAUUGUGUAUCCCGGUUAAUCGUUCGGGCAGUUUAAGGCGGUAAGCUACCUGUCCACAUCGGUCAAUGAUUGGAAAUGGACCAAUGUAACGAGGCGCUAACUUGCCUUUAACGCCAAAACGAUUUACUCCUUUCAUUGGGGAUACUUUCAGAUACACAUGGUCACCUUUGGCGAAUCUUAAGGGUCGACGUCUUUUAUCGGCAUAGCUUUUCUGUCGGGACUGAGCAAUUUUCAAGUUGUUUUGGAUUUUUCUAACUUUGUUCUCAGUUUCUUUCACUAAGUCAACCCCAAAGAACCACCUUUCUCCAGGUUCCGACCAAUGUAGUGGAGUUCGACAUCGAUGGCGAUAUAGUGCCUCAAAGGGAGCCAUCUUAAUACUUUCUUGGUAGCUAUUGUUGUAGGAAAACUCUGCUAGAGGCAAGCAGUCAUCCCACUUGUCUGGAAAAUUCAGGGCACAAGAUCUUAAUAGAUCUUCUAGGGUUUGAUUCACCCUCUCUGUUUGCCCACCUGUUUGAGGGUGGUAGGCGGUACUGUACAAAAGCUUGGUGCCCAAAGAUUCAUGUAAGCAUUUCCAGAACUGGAAGACAAAUUGUGUGCCUCUAUCUGACACUAUUGUCUUUGGCACUCCAUGCAGACUUAGUAUACGAUCAAAAUAGAUCUGAGCAUAGGUGGAAGUAUGGUACGAUGUUUUUACAGGUAAGAAGUGUGCUGUUUUGGUGAGACGAUCCACAAUGACCCAAAUAGAAUCAAAGCCUUUGGCCGUCUUGGGCAAUCCUACUAUGAAAUCCAUACUAAUAUCAUCCCAUUUCCAUGCUGGAAUAGGCAAAGGUUGCAACUCUCCAGCGGAUUUGAGAUGAAUAGCUUUGACCUUUCGACAGGUGUCACAUUGGGCCACAUAGCGGGCUAUUUCUAUCUUCAUUUUCGUCCACCAAAACCUUUGCUUUAGGUCCUGAUACAUUUUAUUGCUCCCCGGAUGAAUAGAAUAUCUCGUAGUAUGAGCUUCAUCCAGGAUUUGCUGACGUAGCUCAGGUACCUUUGGAACCACUAACCGGUUUUUGAACCAGAUUACUCUUGUAUCGUCCACCUUAAAGUCUGUGGGUGCUCUGUUAGAAAUUUUCUCUUUAAGAUAUUUCAUGCCUUUAUCUCCUUUUUGUGCCUCUAUGAUUUGAGCUUCAAGAUUGAAAUCAAUCUUUAAAUUGGCAAGGCUUCCCUGGGAAAUCAUUUCUAUUCCCAAGUUUUCUAGCUCUUGGCACAAAGUUAUAUCUUUAGGCGUCACUGUUAAGCAAUUACAGUGAGCCUUACGACUGAGGGCAUCAGCUACUACAUUCGCCUUGCCAGGGUGAUAAUGCACCUCAAGGUCGUAAUCUUUGAUCAAUUCUAGCCACCUUCGCUGGCGCAUAUUAAGUUCAGCUUGAGUAAAGAUGUACUUCAAGCUCUUGUGAUCUGUGUAUGGGUGACAAGUGUUCCCCAACAGAUAAUGGCGCCAGAUCUUCAGUGCAUGUACUACGGCGGCUAGUCCAAGAUCAUGGGUCGGGUAAUUCUGUUCAUGUGGUUUAAGCUGCCUGGAAGCAUACGCAAUUACUCGACCCUCCUGCAUUAGUGCACAGCCUAUCCCUAUCCCUGAUGCGUCACAAUACACAUCAAAGGGUUUUUCAAUAUCUGGCUGGGCUAAGACAUGUGCAGUUGUCAAUAACCUUUUCAGAGUCUGGAAGGCUUGCUCACAUUUAGGUGACCAAACAAAUUUUGUUUGAUUCUUGAGCAAGGUCGUGAUUGGUUUAGCGACUCUUGAAAAGUCCGGGAUAAAGCGACGGUAAUAUCCCGCCAUACCCAAAAAACUACGGACCUCAUGUACCGUAGUCGGGGGCUUCCAAUUCAACACAUCUUCUACUUUACCUUGGUCUACAGCGACUCCCUCCGCUGAUAAUACAUGACCCAGGAAAUGGACUUUGUCUAGCCAGAACUCACAUUUGCUGAACUUGGCAUAUAGUUGAUGCUCCCUAAGACGGGUCAGCACAAUUCUCAGAUGUUCAGCGCGUUCUUUCUUAGUCUUGGAGUAGAUCAAAAUGUCAUCAAUGAAGGCGACCACGAAUUUGUCCAGUUCUGGCAUGAAGACAGAGUUCAUCAAGUACAUGAAAUGGGCCGGUGCAUUGGUCAACCCAAACGACAACACCAGGUAUUCAUACAGCUCAUAACAGGUGGUAAAAGUCGUCUUGGGUACAUCUUCCGGCCUAAUUUUAAUUUGGUGGUACCCUCAUCUCAAAUCAAUUUUUGAGAAUACUUUGGCCCCGGCUAACUGGUCAAAUAGCAAGUCAAUACGGUGCAAUGGGUACUUGUUUUUAAACGUCACCUCAUUCAGGGGAUGAUAAUCGACACACAGCCUUAAUGUUUGAUCUUUCUUUUUCACAAAUAAGGCUGGGCAACCCCAUGGACUGGAACUAGGCUGAAUAAAACCUUUGUGCAACAACUCUUGUAGUUGGGUUUUCAAUUCGGCCAGUUCUUUUGGUGCCAUUCGCUAGGCCCUUCGAGAUAUUGGGAUUGUCCUUGGUUUCAAUUCUAUACUGAACUGGACAUCCCGGUCCAGUGGCAGACCUGGUAGGUCUUCAGGAAAUACAUCCGGAAAAUCCCGAACUACCAGGAUAUUUUUGACUACAGACACAUUAGUGGCAUGAACUUGCCCAAUUGCCCGUUUGGGAGUAACUAAUUGGAUUAGAAGGUAAGAAUUCUCAUUGGGCAAUGGUAUUUUAAUGGUUCGAUGCAAGGUAUCUAGCACAACCCCUCGUUGUGCCAUCCAUUUCAUGCCUAGUAUGACAUCAAUCUCCUGAUCUUUAAGAACAAUCAUGCUAGUGGGAAAACUAUGCCCACCAAAUUCGAUGGGUAUCUGAUGAACCAUUUCUUUAGAACUCAGCCGUCCUCCUAGCGACUGUAUAUAAAAAUGAUCUUUUGUUUCCCCAAUGGGUAUGCCAUGCUUCACCACAAAGGUGCGGUUGAUGAAUGUAUGAGAUGCACCACAAUCGAAAAGCAUUAAAGCAGGAUGUUUCGCAACAGGAAACGUACCCAUCAUUACUGGUUCUCCCUCCGGUAUCAUCUCCACCUCUGUAUGGAAGACUUGUCCCACUUUCUUUGCUGGUUUACCCCUUCGCACAUUUUGUCCUUUCUGAGCCCCAAUUUUGAAUUGGCUCGGCUGGGGUUGGCCUAUGGGUGGCCUUUGGAAAGUGGGGUUGGUUUGGCGGGGGUAGGGGCAUUCUUUAGAAAAAUGCCCAGGCUUACCUCAAUUGAAACAAGGAUAAUUGUGGUUGGGCGGAGCAGUGGGGCGAACACCUGGGGCGUUCGGCUGGCAUGGUGCAGUGGCGAUGGCAGUAGGUCGAGGAUAUACCUACUGCCCUGGUCUAUAUUGUGAAGGGGGGAAGGGACCACGAGAAGGUGACGGCACUGGGAAGCGUCCGUGGCCCUGUGGGUGAUACAUGAUCCUCUGGCGCUUUUGACCGCGACCAGAGAAGGAGGAAGAAGCGGCCUUCUUCUUGGCUUCUUUGUGUUUUCUAUUCUUUUCUUCCGAGGCGAUGGCAAUAUUUACCGCCUUGUAGAAAGUAGCAUUUUGACAUGUGGUCAUCAUGGUCUGAAGUUUGGUAUUGAGACCACGCAUGAAACAAGCCUUCUUCUUUUUAUCUGUGUUCACAUGGUCCGUGGCAUAUUGAGAAAGAUGAUUAAAUUUUGCCACGUACUCCAUCACACUCUUAUCGCCUUGCUGCAAGGCGAGAAAUUCUUCGGCCUUCAUGGCCAUAAGCCCUUCUGGAAUAUAAUGGGCGCGGAACACGUCCUUAAAUUCUGCCCAAGUGACCUGGUGUCCUGGAUCUUGGAUAGCUAGGAAGUUCUCCCACCAGGCCCCCGCAGCUCCCCGAAGCUGUUGGGCUGCGAACAAGGGCUUUUGAGUUUGCGAACAUCGGAUCAGACUGAACUUGUGCUCCAUUGUCCGGAGCCAGUCGUCAGCUUCUAAAGGCUCAUCAGCCUUGGUGAAUACUGGGGGUCUUGUCUCGGUAAAGUCCACUUACCGAGUUUCUCCCUCCCCAUUGUGCUGUGCUCUGAUGUUUGGGGCGGGGUGUGAUUGGCGUUGUGCUAACUCACGCAACAAGCGAGCAUUGUCGGUAGUGGCACUCAAAAGAACAGCAAUGGCAUCUGCCAGGGAAGGUGGAGCAGGUGGAGGGUUGGGGAUAUCAUCCCCUCCCUGAGAUGACCCAGCUCCAUCAGAUCCACGAGUGCGCAUCGGCAUCUACUACAAGAAUCAUAUGUACUUGUUACCACAUGGAAUCCAUAACUUAAAACAUAUCUUACAUACUUCCAUUUAUUUAUCAAACAUCAGUUCAGCACACUGGAAAUAAAUGAGUACAACUUUAAAGAAAAACACUAUACUACAAACCCGACCCCACUACCGUAGACUCUAGGAAUCCUACAACGACGUUGCCCGCAACUUCACCGAACUAGUCGGUGUGGUCAGAGCCGUAGCCCGGGUCGUCAUUGUCAUCGCCUUGAUUACCCCCCGGGUUAUUGUCGUCGGAGUCGGAUUCCUCCUCGUCACUGAGGUCUUGGUCGGGCUCCCCAUCAUCCGCCAACUCUCCGUCAGUGUCCAUCUCCCCUUCACCUGGAGGUGGAUGGAGCUGAUGGUAUAAAUCAAAUGCAAUAUCACGGUACUGCAUCGCCAAGUCGUUGACGGUGUCCAGAUGAUGUGCCAGCUCAAGCUUCUCUAGCUGUAGCUGGUCCUCCCGCUGCCACGUGACAUCCCUCUGCACGGUGACAGUGGCUGCCAUCUUCAUGUACAGAUCUUUAAGGUACUUGGUUUUGUCCAGCUUAGCCUUCAUUCUGGUCAGCUCGUGCAUGUGCGCGCUCCUGGCCUCCUCUUCUCGGGCAAUAGCGGCAUUCCUUUCUUCCACCAUACGGGACAGCAUCGCCUCGCAGUUCUCGGUGGCUUGUUUUUGUUUUGUUAGCAGAGCUUUAAGUUCACCGAUCUCCAUGACAUUAUACAUCCUUUCUCUCGUCACUUCGGUCAGCUCGGCGGAUAACUUUUCCAUCUCCUGCUCAGAUGGGGGACGGCUACUGCUUGCUUGAUCGCUUCGCGGGGCCAACUGGUGUCUAGGCACCCCUUUAGGACCUCUUGCGCGGAGUCUGCUUCCAACGACCCAUCCUGUAGAGGGUAAGUUUGGAUUAGUAAAGGAGACCUUAAAGGUUAGCAAGAAUGGGAUUGAUUCUAUACAACCCAACCCAAAUAAAGAGGAAGGAAUUUAACCAAGUGAUAUAUCAUGAUGCAUGCACGUACUUACGAUUCCUACUAGCAAUUCAUAACGAUAUUACCUAAAACUUUACAACAUAGGGCAAUACUUUAUGUUGCUCUUCCACACAACUUCAAAAAUUCUAACAAAGCCUACAGACAAGGGUAAGAUAGGACUAAAGCACUUGGACUCAAAAUAGGCAAGUUUAUAGUAUCGGAUCCAAAUGGUUUUGAAGUUUUUCAAGGGAUACAGCAGUCAUCUUAGCAACGAAUGCUCUGAUACCAGCUGUGGCAGAACCUCCUAAGUGUUUGGGCCCACCGACACCUGUCAUUGUCCUAAGGACCUCUGACGGUGAUGCCGGGGAUCCUCCCACUCUAGAAGUCCGAUGAGCAUCUCAGGACGCUCAUUCCACCGCUACCUGUGGCGUAUCAAGCAAGCUCGUUCUGACCACUAGUGAUGGUCAAUUAAUGAGAACUUCUUCUUCUCGCCCUUACAGGAUAGCAAGUGGCCACCUUAACACCAGGAUCACUCGUUGCGAAGACAUUGUAGUAUUACAAACGACAUAAGACCAAAAUAAUAUUUCAGAGUAAAGCAGCGGAAGUAUUACAUAACUUAAUUUACAAAAUUAGUUCUUCCAAAUAGUAGAGUGUUAUUACAAGCCAGGUCCAGCGGAGCAACUUAAACUUUAGUACACAGAUUACAAUUUUACAAACCCUGCCCAUGGGUCACGCUCACUCUUCCUCGUCGUCAACCUCGACGACGGUCACACAAUAGGAUCCGAAACAUGUCGGCUCCUGAGCUUCACCUGCAACAGGGGUCAUAAAACCCUGAGUACGGGAGUACUCAACAAGACUUACCCGGCGGAAAAAGAGGAGAAAUUAGGGAUGCAGGCUUGGGGUAGACAAGGAGUGGCUGAGCAAGGAGCCAAGUUGUUUUGCUAAAAAGCUUACUAAUAGUGCAUCCUUACUUUCAAGUUUUACCCGCGAAUUCCUCUCCUUAAGAGGCCGAGGAGUUCGAGGACAGUCUAUCUAGUUGCUUCUCACAGACAAGUCUGUAAGUUCCUAGUCCUUAAUUUAAGUAUUACCUAUCCAACGGCCAUAGCUUCAUGUCACUCUAAGUCCGGGAAUUGGGAUCCGAACCUCAUGAGACAUUCCCCCCUUUCUCAUUUUUUCACUUAGUUGCAUAUUUAUCUACGAUGAGGGUCACUGGAUUGAGUCUCCCAAUCGGAGAGCAACGACGAUUCGAACCGCUUAGCAAUCCAGCUGGAGUUCCUAACCACCCGACAUAUGUAGAACCAAAUCUUGCAUAUGUCAACCCAAAUCAAGCUCUCCCCAAAUUUGACUAGGUUUGCGGCACCUGAGAGCACAGUACUCCACCAUCCUACAGCCGAUCUAGAUGUUUUCCGGUCAUCUCAGAUCCGUAAGGUGGGUACACGCUACUCUCGCCAUCGCUCCACGCCCGGUGCGCAGGUAGCUGUUCGCGUCGAGGGAUCACAAGACCGGGCUUACCGAGGGCAAGUGGCUAGUACUAUAAAUUCUCAACCCAGCGGGCCAUCAACGGACCGGUCCUUAACCGACACAGUUGGAGACACUACUUUAAGACUCCAUUUGACUCCAUUCUUAAAGCAAGUCCACCGACCGGUCUCAAAUUGAAACAUCAUUGAUCAUAAGUGUAUUCCACAACAACCCUUCAAACUUUGUCUGAAAGCCUAUCUAGUAGCUGGGCUAAGCAUCACUACGCAAAUUUUAAAAUAAAACAGGUGCCAAGGACAAGAUAACAAAUAUCAAGGUAGUAAAUGCAGCAAGUAGGUUAACCCAAUUCUCAACUACUUAAUGCAGCAUUUUCCAUUCAUAAGUGAUAAAAGAUUUCAAACAUUCAAGGAGGGGUUAAUGCAUCCGGGGCUUGCCUUGGUUGCAGAGCUGAUAGGGACCCUCGGAGACUUCCCAAGUCUCGGAUCCUACUUCCUCGAACGGAGCACCGACCUCGGGGUUCGGUUCAACGGUCGCUUCUUCGGUCACGGGCACUAUACGCAAAAUGAUGGAUGCUCAUGAUAUGCGUAUGACAAAUAUUUAAGGAGGACCGAGUUAAGUACAACUGGCCUUCUCGGUGCAACACAGACUAAACAAAAAUUAAAGUUGUUACCAUUUUAAUGUUUUUACCCAAGAGGUUGCAUCAGUAAAUUAAGAUUUCUCUUAAUUCAUAAUUAUCCUUAAUUAACUAAUUAUUAAUCCUUUUUAUCUUAAUUAAUUCUUAAUUAAGUAUAAAUGACAGUAAUUAAACAUUAAUGCCAAACAAUCAUUAAAUGCCAAAGGUCAUUAAGGUUAAUGACCUCAGGUCAUCACACAAUCCCAAAAUCACUCAAACCCUAAUUUUGAGAAUUUAAACUAAUUAUUAUCUAAUUAUUCUAGAAUUAUUAUUUAAUUACUAAUUAAGGGUAUAAUAAUAUUUUAUUCAAACAGUAUCCAAAUGCCACCAAAUUUUGUGUGAAUCCUGGGAAUAAUAUUUAGAGGCUUCUCACAAUUUUUGGUGAUUUUUGGAGAUACCCAUAAAUUAUGAAAAUUCAUGGAAGUUUUAUUUGCUAAUUAAAAGAGGCAAUUUUUAUAUACAUGCAAACUACCGGAAAAUAGAAUCCAAUAUUUUUGCUAGGUUCUACUCAUUUUAUGGAACCUAUACAGAAAUUUCCAUGAUUUUUGAAUCAGUAUACAAUUUACUACACAAAAUCAAACAUAACACAAAUUUUGCACAAAAGGAAAAAGGAAAAAGCACUAUGCUGCGAGCGGCCCAGGAACUCGGCCCGCAGGCCGGCCCGUUCUCGCUCGGCCCACGCGCGCGCUGCGCGCGUUGCUCCUCUCCUCUCUGCGGGUCGCUGACGGGCGGGUCCCGCCCGUCAGACCUUUCUUCCUCCUCUCGCCGCGGCUCCGGCGAGCCCAAGCAUGUCGUCGGCGAGCUCCCGCCCUCCGCGAUAAGGCAGGCCAGCACCCUCAGCCCCCUACGCAUCUCUUGCGGUGCUCGGACCACGCGCUACCCCCCUCAAUCCCCCUUGCUCGCGUCCACGGCGGACGGCGGCACUAACCGCGCGAGCACCGACCACUGCAAGCAAGUAACGUGCGAACCAAAGAGCGCAUAAGCAUAAGUGGCUCACCGCGACUUCAACGAAGCAAAGAGCGGCGGUGGAGAAGCUUGGAGAAGAGCUGGCCGCGGUGAGGUGUCCACGGCGGCGUUUCGGCCGGGACUGGAGAAGAAUGGCUCGGGUUGGAGCUACGACAGGGUAGAGCUUGCGCUCGGGGGGCGCAAACGGUGGCUAAGAUCUUGGCGAAGCUGUUGCUGUGCUCGGGUGGUUCGGAAGGGAAGCAGGCGAGGUGAAUUUGGCAGGCGCAGCAAGCUCGUCGGCGUCGGGGUUCCGAGAAGAAGAAGUGUUUCCACGACGGCUCGGGGUUUUAUCCCCGCAACGCAGUGCUUGCUGCGGAUGAGGACGCCACGGCGAUGCCCAGCAGGCAAGCAGCUGCGUGGCCAGGCGCGUGGCGGCGCUGGACACAGCAGCUCUGCCCCGGCGGCAGAGCAUCCCCCCUACUCGAGCACUGUAGCGAGCCCUAUCUAAACAUUUUGUUGUUUUGGAAAAUUCGCCCAAAUUUUGAACUAAAGUCCAAAAUCUGUUAAAAUGAAAGUUGUUCAGAAUUUCACAAGCUACAAAACAUGUUUUGGUGACCAAAGCUAAUUCUGAGUGGAAAAGGGUGAAUUUGACAAAACAGUUUGAAAUUCAAAUCUCAGUUUAGGGAAAUUCAAAAUUUUGAAUUGGGGCAGAUCAGAAUUUCCAAAAUUACUUUUGAUUUUUCAACACAACUUGAAAAAUUCCCAACAUGAAAGUUGUUCAACUUUUUGAGCUCUACAACUUUCAUGUUGGUCACUUUUCAAAAUUCCACAUAGAUUUUGAAUUGGAGAUUCAAAUUGGAAAAGGGGACACUUUCUCGAAAUCUGUAUUUUCAAAAUUACUUUGAAUUUUGUAUUGAAACUUCAAAAACUCAAAACAAGGUUUCUAAAUUUGCUUAGUUUCUAAAUUACACCCUAGGAAUUUUGCUUAGUUUCUAAAUUACACAAAAGGGGGCAAAACAAGGUUUUUAAAAUCAGGGUUCCCCCCCCCAUUUUCUCGGAAAUCUUUCACCCUAGGAAUUAUACAACCAACACAAGCAUCACUUCACAACAUAAGCACACUUUAAUUCCCUAAGCACAUUCAACCAAAUUAGACUUAUUUUAAGUUAAUGCAUCAGGAUGUGCUUAACAAAUAUGCUAUGCAAUGCUUAUGAUGACAUGAUCCAAUUUUAGUAACCGUAACAUCAGGGAUGUUACAAAUUACCUUGCUAAUAUCACUAUGCAUGGGCGUAGUCUUGUCUCACAAUGAUUGCUAAGUAUGCUUGCACUAACUAUGAUAAUGCUAGACUAUAUAGUUGAGAAUAACUUAGGAAAUAUUCUUGUAGUUCGUUCUAAUUCCAUGCGAAUGACUUUCUAGAAUAUCUAAUUGAGGUGCUUAUCAUAUUUAUAUGUGGCUAAGUUAUGCUGAUCAGAUUAAUUAUCUUUGUCACUAUUCAUUACUUUAUAUAUCCUUUAUGUGACACUUACCCCUGUAUGAAAGAGUUAGAUAAAUGUUCUUAAUUAUAGAUACUCAAUCUCAUAUUCCAUUCUAUAAUCAACAUUGAUGGUUGCUAAUCCCUUCCUAGUGGUAAAAAUAUAAAUAAUGAUACCUGGAAUACUUCCAGGUUAAAAUGCUACAUCGGUAUUAAUCUGUGCGCUUGCAGAUCCCAUUCAUUAUUUAUUUAGAAGAGCAAUAGCAUAUUUCAAUACCGCGUCUCUCAUGUCAUGCUGGGGAUGACAACUUGGCUUAAGUGGUAUGAGGGAUAGGUUUGGCAUUUUUGGCACCGUUAUCAGAAUUAGAAAACUAAGUCUACUUUUGGUAAUCAUGUUAAGAAUACCCAACAACCACCCUGCCACAUACCCCUCUGCCCGUGGGAUACCUGCAUAUCCACUGUUCUCUGCGUACCUGAACACCAUGUUCACGUAUUUGGAAACAACUCUUAACCCCCACGGCCCCAACCCUUCGGAUUGACAGGCUAGGUUAAGAGCAACCGGAAUGGCCCAGUGAACCAUCAUCUCAUCCCUAAUUCUACUUCUAUUCAUAUAAGUUAGAUGAACGAUGAAGAAUAAGGAUGAAUAUAUCAAGAACAUAGCACGAGAACUAAGAACUAGUUCAUAUACUAUGAACAUGAUAUAGACAUAACUAUACUCUAGUUCAUAAGCACAAUUGUAUAGAUAACAAGAACUUGCUCAUGGAAGAAGACUGAUUAUGAUUCAUACCAAGAGGAUCCUUUCUUCAUAGGAGACAAGCUCUCCUUGGUAGCUCUUGCCUUGCUCUACUACUAGUCUAAUACUAAAGAUACAAGUGAGAGGUGUGAGGAAAUGUAGACUCCAAAUGAUGUGUGUUUUACAAAUGAGGGGGAGCCAUCUAUUUAUAGCCCAACGAGGACGGUUCGGGGGAUCUAAAUAUGGUAGUAGAUGAAACCGUCCUAUGCAUGGCGGCAUGCAACCGCCAGAGAAAGGUGGGGCCAGUUUGCCACCACCAAGGUUGCGCCCGCAACCAGGUGCGCCCGCAACCUGGUGGGCCCCACCUAGCCACCGCCUUCGCGAGGCUUGCUCCCUGCUGGACCUCCUUUCCUGCUUUGGUUAUGAUUGGGUCCAGUUCGAUGUUGAAGGUGGGCUUCUUGUUUAUUUUUGAUUGCGCAAUUGUGAAUUCGUCUUUUGUAAAUUGCGCUUUCUUUAUUUUAUUGUUUUCUUCCACUUGUCACAUUAUAAAUCCUACAAAACAAAAUACCAUGGUACAAGUGGAACUAUGUCAAUAGCAAAAGCAUAUGCAAUUUAAAUAUGUUUAUUCCUUUUCUUUUUAGUCUAAGUUGGCAGUAUAAAAUCCUCCAUAGUGACUGCCAACAAGACCCCCAAGCUUAACCUUUGCUCGUCCCGAGCAAAUAAUUAAGUAUGGUUGUUGAUCAAGAGUUGCUACUAUAAUUCAGGAGUGUCAUGCCUAUAACAAAGCAUUCAUUCGCAAUUUAAAUAAGUUGGCAUACUAUACACUCUUUGUCACAGAACCGACCAAAUUAUAAGAGUUCAAGUGUAGAAACGAUCAACUACUAAUCAAGUUUCCAAACUUGAGCUCAUAUAAUCCCGGUAGUCAACUGAAAUCAUGAAGGACUUCAAACCAACUUGCAACAAACCAAGAUCGUAAUAGUUCAACAUAACAUAGCGAAUGUUACAUAGUCAUUCAUUGCCGUCGAAGCGGCACCACAUCGGAGUUACUUAGUUAUUACAACACAUGUUUGUAGUAGCGGAAGCAAAAUAGUUUACAACUCACAUUCCAAAGUUCAUUUCACAAGUUCUUGUUUCAGCCAGAGUCUCAUGCCACCCAUCAAAAGCAACAGAGACGAAGUAGUUAGAGAACCGUGCCCAACGGUUUAGUCUUCAUCCCCAGCGGGAUGGAGACAGGUCUUGCAGAAGCCAUCAUAAAAGAUAUCAUCUGCAACAGGUGGGAAUAAACCUUGAGUACGAGGAUGUACUCAGCUAGACUUACCCGUCUAGUAAAACAUAAAAGACACCAAGGAUCAUGCAAGUUUUAGCAUAAAGUGUAGCUGGCUUGACUCAACAAUUGCUAAAAGCUUAAGUGAUUACUUUACAACUGGUAUUAGCAUCAUAUUAAUCAUCAUUAGCCUAUCACUAGAUUAGCACCUGGACUGAAACACAUCACUUGAUUAUUACAAGCAAUAAUAACCAUAUCAAGUUCAUCAUAUGUUCUUCCUUGCUAUCAUCAACAACAUUAUCAAGAACCAUUGAACUUAGUGAAUGCUACGUUUGUCGUUGCUCUAUCAAGUUCUCACUAUCCGGGAGAGACGGCGAUUCAAAUCGAUUCCUAUCCAGCUAGAGGGUUAUUCCUAGCACUCACCCAAGCUUCCCCCGUAGGAGAGCCAGCGGGUCACCUUUGGUACGACUCAGGAAUCGCGGCUCCGAUCAGCGCCGCACUCCCAGGGCCACCAUUCUGCCAGGGAGGUCAGGAAUUUUAACUCACCUACCUUUGGUCUUACGCCAAUGGUCCCCCGCACACCGCACUUCCUCCGGUAGUGCGCACUUUAUACUUGUCGGUCUUCCGGCCUGAGUCAUACUACUAGGCUUCGUGGUCGGAACGAGUUAUCCGGCCAACUAAGUGUUAGGCAUGCGUUCAACAUGACAAGAGGACGUACAAUGAUCGAUCCUUAGCUGCCACAGACGGAGUUACUACAUCCUUGCAAAACUCUGCCUGGCUUAAGUCAUUUUAAUUAGGUUCCUUCCACGAUAGCUCAUAUAGACAAUCGUGAUCCGACACAACCCUAUCUCGCGCAGGUGACAGGAUAUCACCCGACUUCUACCGAUUAAAGCAUGACUAAGCUGCUACUCGAUCCUAACUCUAUAACUAGGUAGUGGUAAGAUAUCUCGACAAGGAAUGAGUAAAAUGCAGCAAGGGUUUUAUCACAACUCCUAUACGUAAUGCAUCAAUAGAUAUAACAUAAUCAAGUAAUCUUUCGAAAAUAAAGGGGGAGACUUAAGAUGCUUCGGGGCUUGCCUUUCACGAACGAUGCAGGCUCAUGGUUCGGGCACUCAAUCUCCUCUUCGGGCUCCUCGUGUCCGGCUUGCUGGACCUCCACCUCCGGGUUGAUCUCUUGGCCCUCGGGGUUCACUUGGAGCUCGAACGCGGCGGUCGUUUCCGGUGCACCUAUUGCAUGCACGAUGAGUACGAAUAUGUGCAUCCUAAAAGGAUGAAUGCUUGAUAACAUAAUUAGACUCACUGGACACUCAUUUACGGAGUAACGGUCACAACAAGUUCAUACAAGAUAACUAACUAACUUAGCAAGACUUAGCAAGUCAAACCAUAAACAGCAAUCCUUACAUAACAGAGCAGCUCAAGAAAUAAAUCAUAACUGGAGCUAUACAGAUCCAACAAAUAUGAAUGAGGACAUUCUGGAAAGCUUAUGAAAUUUUAUACAUUUAAUAUUUAGACAUUAUAGCAAGAUUCAUAAGUUAAACAAGUCAUUUAAACAAAGUUCCAGGUUCUGUCCCAGAAAAACAGAGAACACCUAUUUCUGGAACCUAACUUGGAAGAGAUAUAACUUUUAAACUAUUGGACGAAAUAAUCCCAAAAUUAAACCACAGCUAGCUCAUAAAGUUUACAACAACUUUGAUUUAGACAAGUCCUCCAGCAAAUCAAGUUAUCAUCAAGCAAAGGUUAGAUUACUCCCUUGCUGUCCAAGACAGCUAUAAACCUUCAAUUAAUUAUUUAAUGACAUAGCCAAAACAUAUUCAGUGCCAACCAAAUGGCUUACAAGCACAAACAUAUCAUAAAAUGACCAGAACAUCAUAUGUUAACCCUUAAACAUUUAAUAUCAUGGCACUUAUUAAUUUAAUUCAAUAAACAGACAUAAUUACAAGAUACCAGCAAAAGUACUCAGAAAAAUCUAUAAAAAUUACCGAAGUACAAACAUAGCAUCUGGACAUUACCCAAAAUUUUUAGAGCAAUUGCACAUGCCAAACUUAAGAUAAGUAUUUAACAUGUAUCAAGGCUCUUAUUUCAUAAAUCAAGAUACAUGGCUUAGAUAGUGUCAAACAACAGAUUUCAGAUUAUUUACAUGUUACUAUUAUCAUAAACAAGCUUGACACUAAAAGUAGAGCACCAGCAUAAGCACCAAACUUUUAUUAUGAUGUAAAUAAGAAAACAUGUCAUAUCACGAACAUAAAUUACAUAUCACAGAUACAGUACUCCAAAAAUCAUGAAAUAUUUAUCAUAGCAUUCUAAUAACACUCAAAGACUGCCAUAAAAACUUCAUAGCAUAAGGAGCAGUAUAUCAAGAGAUAUGAAUUUAUACAUAAAUAACAAGAUUAAAUCAUAACAAUUAUUUUUCCCAGAAAAUAUGGUACAUGUUAUAUUUUUAUUAAAAACUAGCCAUCUCAAGAAACACCACAAAAUUGGUUUCAUAAUUUUUGGAUCUCAGAAACUGAAGAUAUGAUUUUUGCAAGAAUGCCAAAAAUCUGAAUUUGAAUAAAAGAGAGGAGGGGACCGUUGAGUCACUGACAGCGGGACCCGCGCGUCAGCGACCCAGAGAACAGGGGACACCUUCGCCGGCGAAUGCUCGCCGACGGUGAGCUUCUCCGGCGGAUCCAAGGGCACCAACGUGCUCCUGGAGUGAUUCCGCAUCGAUGGAGGUAGGUGACACUAGGCUUACAACGACGGAGAGGGGUCGCCGUCGGCCAUGGCGGCACGGCGGAGCUACCCCGGCUUGCGCCGGCCAUCUCCGACCGGUAGAGCGUCGGGGAAGGGCGGCUUAAGCACCAGUGAGUUAGCGUGGAGCUUUCUAGGUAGAAACGCCUAACCCUAAUGGCUCCGGUGAGCCUGCUCACAUGCGAUGUGCUUGUCGGCGGUGAGCACGGCGGUGCGGCGGCCGUGUUCCCGCACGACGGUGGUGCCAUAGCCGGAAUGGCGUGACGUUCACCGACACCGAGGCCUAAGCAGACCUUAACGCAACUCAGAGGGAAGAAAGGAGGCAUGAACGAAGCAGCGGCGAGGUUCGCUGGAAUCGGGGUCGCGACGGCCGUGAACCCGACGACGACGAACUUGCGAAAUGCGGCUCACCUCGGGGAGAUCUGGUCUAGCCAAGGGGUGGAAAAGAUGGAGGAGCUCGAGGCGGACUUGGAGACGCUCGGAGGCGAGGCAAGACGCAGAGGCGAGGGCGCGGGGAGCUUGCGAAGCUCUCGGCGGCAAUGGCGAUGGCGCUUUCGCCGACGGAGUCGUGAGAGAGAGAGAGGAAGGAAGAGAGUGGACGAGCGCUGGGUGAGUGCGGGGCGUCGUGGCGUCCAUGCCGACGUCGUCGACCUGACGAGCGGGGCCAACGCCGGUGUACGGGUGCCAAAUGGCAGCCAGGUGUCGCGCUGGGCGACCACGACGGCGAGCUCGGCUCCGAUUCAGACCAAACGAAGACCGACUGACAGAGCUACUUUGACAGAGAUUUUCUCCCAAACCAAGGCAAAUUAGGAGAUGGUGUAGUUGACAAAGUUGAAGUACUAGCUGAGUUCUACAACAUUGUCAACUGAUCAAGAGUCAGAUUGGCCGGGAUUGAGAGAUAUGAAGCUCCCAAAAUCGAUCGAGCAAACUGGUGGCGCUAGGACUUGGCCAAAAUCGGUUAAGUGCCAAAACAGCCCCCAAAACUGCCUUGCAAGCACUUUUUGAGCAAGAUGUGAUCAUUUUCAUGAGAUGGCCAUAAAAUAAAUUUUGUUCCUUAUCAAAUUUGCUACAACUUUGCUGUAGAAAGUUUUAAUAUGCAAACAAUUUAUGAAACACUUUUUAAAAGCCUAAGCAAAAGAGGUUUCUAGGGCUUAUACAUGGAAGUAUGACUUAAGCACAUAAUUUGGAGAAGUGACCAACAUGAACAUUGCUCCUAAGGUUGAGUUAAGCAUAGAUAAACUAAUUACCAAGGCUUAACACACAAGCAUGAGCAUGGCACAAACAAACAGAAGCAUAGGAAGCAUAAUAAAACAAAUUAAAUCACAGUUUUGCAUAAAAUGACAUGACCUAAGGUAAAUGAUGAUCAUGAUAUGCUUGAGUAGAUGAUGAUGCUCAUGUUAUGCAUGUGAUUGAUGCAACCAUAACACUGGGGUGUAACAGCCCUCCCCCGUUACAAAAAUCUCGUCCCGAGGUUUGGAAGCUUACUGAUUUUUGAACAAUGUAUUAUAAACUUCUUUUAAAUAGUCCUCCGUCUCCCAAGUGGCAUCUUCCUCCCCGUGGUCACUCCACAACACUUUGUAGAAGUUAACCACACGAUUACGAGUCACCCGUUCCUUGCGGUCGACAAUCGCUACCGGUUUCUCUUUAUACACCAAGUCAGAUUUCAACUUGAUAUCCCAAACUUCCACUCGUUCCUCCGGAACACGAAGGCAUUUCUUCAAUUGUGAUACGUGAAAGACAGGAAAAAUAGCUCGAAGCUCAACUGGUAGUUGAACUUUGUAUGCCACGUUCCCUUUUCUCUCGAGAAUCUGAUAAGGCCCCACGUAACGAGGUGCAAGCUUUCGCUUGACUCCAAACCUUUGUACACCUUUCAUCGGAGACACCUUGAUAUACACAUGGUCACCGACUGCAAACUCAAUCGACUUCCUUUUCUUAUCAGCAUAACUUUUCUGACGAGCUUGAGCAGCUUCCAGAUGUUGCUGGAUGGUACGGACUUGCUGGUCCGCUUCGUUCAUGAAAUCGAUGCCAUAAUACCUUCGCUCCCCGGGUUCCACCCAAUUCAACGGGGUUCGACAUUUUCGACCAUACAGGGCUUCAAAUGGAGCCAUCUUGAUGCUCUCUUGGUAACUAUUCUUAUAAGAGAACUCAGCUAACGGCAACCACUUUACCCAAGAACCCUUUGAAGAGAGAGCACAUGCUCUCAGCAUGUCUUCUAGGAUUUGGUUAACACGUUCAGUUUGGCCGGACGUUUGAGGAUGAUAUGCCGAACUACGAACCAAGUGAGUACCAACCUGCUCAUGAAGACACUCCCAAAAACGGGCAGUGAACAGUGGCCCAUGAUCUGAUAUGAUAGUUCGAGGCACACCAUACUGACGAACAAUGUGCUUGAAGUACAAUUCCGCAUACUGAUGUGGACGAUCGUCAGUUCGAACUGGAAUAAAACGAGCAACCUUGGUCAAACGAUCUAUAAUUACCCAGAUAGAGUCGAAACCCUUAACAGAAGUUGGGAGUCCAACGAUGAAAUCCAUGCUAACUUCUUCCCAUUUCCAACCAGGAAUUGACAAGGGUUGAAGUAAGCCUGCUUUCAUGUGAACGGCCUUCACACGACAACAGUUGUCACAACGAGCGACAAAAGCAGCAAUCUCCUUUUUCAUCUUUAUCCACCAAAACAGAGGUUUCAGAUCCAAAUACAUCUUGCUACUACCAGGAUGGAUAGACAACUUGGAUGAAUGAGCUUUGUUGAUAUUUGGUAACGCAAUAAGGAGAAAGGGUGCAUCUGACUAACCAAAUCUAUUGCUACUAUCCCUUUAGGCACAAAGAAUGUCUUUCGAUGUGAGUGAUAAAUAGAGAAGACUGCAACCGUAGUCUCCUUCUAACCUUGGUAAGGAUGAUCUACUGUUCUAAUGGGGAGGCUAACGGAAUCUAGACACCACAAAGGAUGUUCGACCCACACCUAUAAACCCUAUCCUUCCUGCUAACGAGAUGUGAUCUACAAAGGUAGCUCGGAAAUGUCACGUUCCUCACUACUACCACGGUCCAGCUAGUCAGGGAAUAUCUAUGAGUACCCCAGCCUAAACACCACAUUUACGCCAGCAAUGAUUACUCUAAACUCUACGCGAAGAGAUUAAAGUAAACUCAUAAACCAUAAGAACAAUAAAACAAGAACUUACUAGAAUUUAGAAGUCGAAUUACUGAAGAAUCCUAGGAGCAAGCUUCGGGUUAGGAGAACUUGAUCCCGCAGGUACAAGCUUGGAGUAGACACCGACAGGCCGGGCUUCCUCCACUCUUCACCUCCACUCUAUCUCUCUCAAUCUAGUAGAAACUAGAAGAUCUAUUUCUACCUUACAUUGAUUGCUAAGCCUAAAAAGAAAUAUUAAUUAGAGAAGAGGUUUUCCUUCGAGGGCACCCCUCAGUCUCUAUGAUAAUUUCUUCAUGUCUUCCAGGGGCCAGGGGGCCUCGCUUAUAUAGUCCUCCCCUUCUAUGUGUUUUUGGGUCGAUAGCCGAGGUGGUGCUAUGUUUUUCUUGAUCCAAUAGGUCGGUGGAAUAUCCCGAGCGAAGGAGUCCUGAUUUGGCUCCAGCAGGAGGGCGGGCGCCCAGGCUUCCAGGGCGGGCGCCCUGGGCCUGGCCCAGCUUCGCCUCCGCUUCGGUCUCGUGGCUUCUGGAGUCUUCUAGAUGAUGUAAAAUUGCGCGGUGCGUUGAUAUCUCUAUGUAAUCCCGACAUGUGGGCCUUUCUUCCUUAUUUCCUGAUAACCCCCUGCAGAAAUAGGUAAACAACAAAACUCGUGGAAUUCUGUCAGAUCAAACCCUAAUUCUAGGUGAUGUUUGCAUAUUGGUCCUUUCUCUUGUUUAUUUGAUAAUUAAAAUUGAUACUUAAGAACCGUCAACAAAUACCCCCAUACUUAGGCUUUUACUCGUCCUCGAGAAAAGGAUGGUUAAGAACAAUAUCUGGGGUAAAUAUUUAAAACAUUCUCUUUAUAAUUGCAGGGUGUUAAAAUUCCACUGUGUACCAUAGUCAGGAAGUAUAUGGUUAAGAGUAAAGAUCCUUUCUUCUCAAUCCUGUCACUUGGAGUUUUUUUUUUAUAAUUUUGAAAGAAAGUUAGCAUACCUUUUGAUCCUCAUAGGUUUUCUCAGAUCACUCAUUAUCUUUUAUAUAUAUAUCUCACUGAGGCUGUUUUAUUUGGCAAAAAUUCUCAAGCAUACUUACUUUGGAUUUAUUGCCUGAUCAAAACGGGAUCCGAGGAGGGAAAUGUCAUACUCUUAGAUCAAAGACUUUGAAAAUUAAAAUCUUUGUCAACUCUUGCUGGCAUAUUGCUUAUUAGAGGGACCAUGGGCUAUCAUUUUUUUUCUCUUUUCUUUUUUUUUAAGUGGGUACCGAGGUACCCCUAAUUCUACUGCCGGACACUUGUCCAUUUUUUUCUGCGAGGUUAUCGAGCACUUGCUCCUUUUUAUUUCCUCAAAAUAUUUCUAUUUUUGCAUAGCCCAUGCCUCUAAUGCAAUAAUACUUCGGAAGAGUGAAUCUUUCUGAAAUAAUGUCUUGAUCUUGGGAGCAUGAUAAAUCUCUCAACAAGGGUCUAACUCAUUUUGAACAAACUCAAUACAGAGCAGAUAGCUUUUAUAAUCAUAAUUAAUAUUUUCAGUUUUAUCAGGCAUAUAAAACACUGAGGAUGGUAGCUAGAAAUUUGAAUAUUUUGAAAUAAAUUCUCCAAGCAACAAUGAUAUCAAGAAUAAGAAACUCAUACUCUAUCAUCACAUAUUCUAUAUUGACUUAAGUAACACAGGGUUUUAAAAUGAUUUUAUACUAAUUGCAAGUUUUCAGGAAAUAUCACAGAUUGAGAUUAAUCAUGAUUAGAAAUAUUUUAAUCCUUUUAAUUUAUUAUGUCGGAAACAGUAAUCUGCAUAAUCCAAAAUAGUUGUAUGUGUAAAGUAAAGUGUGCAGAGUGUGUACCUGAAUCGUGGAGUGGUGUAGUCGGAGUGUGUUUGUCAUGUUGAGGGAUUUCCCCCAUACUUGUUUUCUGCUUUCUUGCACAAAAAUAAAGUAGAGACACACAAAACAUAAUAAUAGUAAUGAUAAUAAUACUCUUUAUUGAUCUUGAGGCAUUUAUUACACAAGGAAGAACAAAAUUAUUUUUGGCUAUUCUCUCCCGGAUUAGGAGUAGAAUAUUUUUGGGUGAUUCUGAAGACGGAAAUGUAUGGAUAUAUGUGGAUGGUACUUCCGGAGUAGAAGUAGCAUGUGUGAGUGAACGUGCAAGUGAAUCUUGAUUUAACCACAUGACAAGCUCCUAAGGGUCUACACAGCUUGACCACACUCAAUGCUCAUAAGCAGUAAAAAGUAAAUGUGUGGCUCGAAGUCUAGCAAGCAUGUAUAUAUGGCUGUGGUAGGAAUUUAAACUCUCAUCAUAUAGGAACUCAUCAUGCAACAUUUUAAAGAUUUCCAAAGAUAAAAUUCUCCAGAAUUCUAGCAUCUCUAGAAACAGAUUAACAGCAGCUCAACCUUCCCAUAUCGUAUCCGUUAACAACUUAGAUUUC